RNAcentral lists this long non-coding RNA (59292 nucleotides) under Sorghum bicolor (sorghum). RNAcentral's name for it is "long non-coding RNA (SBIC_LNC017126)". The record is from RNAcentral. Lineage: Eukaryota; Viridiplantae; Streptophyta; Magnoliopsida; Poales; Poaceae.
UGGUGGUAUUCUCUAAUAGUGUUGCAUUUGACUUAGGUCAAGGUGCAUGCUAGAUUUAUUGGCACCAAAGUCUUGUGUCUUAUUUCUCCAAAUAUUGAGUCUCACCCAUUUCUUGUAAUUCUUUAAAUUAUCAUCACAAAGAGAACAUGAAGACCUACUUUAAUAUAAAAUAUUUUGAUAUAUAGUUAUGGGCUUAUGGCAAAUAAAUGACGAAUAGUUGCUUCAUGUUGUUGAGUCUCACAAAAUGAUGGUUUUUGCUAACUGUACUUAUGAUAGGAAUGAGGAAUGAAGUUUGAAUAGUUUCUUGUUGUUGAGCCCCAUGAAAUGGUGGUCUAUGCUAGUGAUGGUCACCUGAUGGCAAACUUGAGUACUGUUAAAUCUCAACUAUUGUGCUUAUUUGGUUCCAAGGCAUAUUCUCCUUAGGAUGAUUGCAUUUGCUUCAGCUAUUUGUGGUUAUCUUUGAGCUGGUUGAAUUUAUUUUCUUGUUAAUUUAAUAUGCUUAUAUUAUACUAGGGGGUAGUGUAGGUGGGUAGGGGGGUGCCUAACACUGCCAAUGCCGGUCCCAAGCCCGGAUAGAAGUGGAGGGGGCACGUUGAAUGGUUAAUAAUGAAGUCUCAAAAUAAGAGUUCUUGAGUAGCUUACAGUAUUUGACAUUAAGAGAAUAAAUGGUUUAAUGGAAGGCUAAUAUCAACUAACUUACAAGUUGUAACUGAGAGAUGUAAAAGUGGGCACGUUGUCAAGAGUUUUGUCUGUGUUAAACGAAUGUAAUUUAUUUAUGUCUUGUUUAGUUCAUCCAAAAACUUUUUAAGAUUUCCUGUCAUAUUGAAUCUUAUGGCACAUACAUGAAAUAUUAAAUAUAGAUAUAAAAAAUAAUUAGUUACAUAGUUUGAUUGUAAUUUGUGGGACGAAUCUUUUGAGCCUAGUUAGUCUAUAGUUGGACAAUAAUUGUAAAAUAAAAACGAAAAUGCUAGAGUCCCCAAAAAUUUUUCACCUUCUCAACUAAACAAGGCCUAGUGUUUGGAGCUUUUAAAUUUGACAGCAGACACAGACCUGGAGUAUAUUCAAAUGAAAAGAUGUUCUCUGUAGACAGAUGUUUUGCGAUUUCCUAUGGGGUGGUCAUCCUUCCAUAACUUUUGUUUACUUCUUGUUUCUUAAUCUUAGAUCUUUGAAAGCCAUUUAAGACUCAUAACAUACCAUUUUUUUCUUACUCUUAUAUUGUGUUGAAUUGCGUUGCAAGUUUUUAGCCGUAGCAAUCCUGCUAGUUAUAAGGAAUUUGGUGAAGUAACUCCCCAUUUUCGUUUAAAACAAGUUAUUGAAAUUAAGACCGGGCAAACUUUGGUUUCUAGAAUCUAGUAGCCGAUCGUUGUCACAGCAACGUAGAGAAACCAACAAGUUUAGUACCAGUUUCUUCGGUUUGGUUUUUGGUUGAACCGAACCAACACAACACUGAGGUGGCGAUUGGAUACAGGGAUAUAGAGAGUGGCAUAGGAAAAGAGAAAUGGAUGAUCAGGAUGAACGGUAGGAUUAAAUGAAGCGUAAAGAAUGAAUGGCUAGGAUAUAAUAUUACUCUUUGGAGGGUGAAAAAUCUCUAUCCCUUUCCCUAUCCCAAUCUUCAUCCAAACGCCACGAAGAUACAAGAAGUUUGCCGCCUCAUCGAUGUCACGUUGUUUCCUCAACUUGUCGAUGCCACGCCCCCACCGUCCGCCAUACCAAUGACACUUCUGCAAUCCAUCACCCUAUUGAUGCCACACGUGUCACCCCGCUCCACCCACUUUUGCAGCCACGCCCCGUGCCACAGAGAAGCCACGAUGCCCUUCUCCGGCGCCACUCCCACUGGUUGCCGGCGAGGAGCUGUCCCUGACCCCCUCCUCGCACGGGAACGCCCCUACGGCCCUACCAUAAAGAAGCCACGUAGCCGUCACGCAUGGUCUGAGGACCGAGAGCAGGAAGGAAAUGAGGAGGUGAGGAUUGAUUCGUACAGCCAUGAAAGAGAUUUAUAGGUUAGGGUCAGUUUUUUUAUUUGAAACUGAACCUCGGGAUAGAAUCAGUUAGGGGGUGUUUAGUUUCCUUUCAUUCAAAAAAUUUUAGGUUUUAGUUUAUUAUUUUGCAUAAUAGAACUAAAAACCCUGUAAAUUUUUUGGCAAAAAAGAUGAUUAUUCUUUAUUUUUGGAUUUUAGCUUUAAGAGAGCGUCAAGAGGCCCUAACGAGGGCAAUAAAUUCUGUAUUUUGGAUGAAACUAAACAUAAUUCUAAAAAUUUUGACAUUUUAUAUUUUAUCAUUCUAAAGUAGUUGAUAUUUUGUAUUUUAUAUUCUAUGGGGGAACUAAACACACCCUUAUUUAGGUGAUUGGCUCAGGGGUGUUUAGUUCCCCUUUUAUACCAAAAAAAUUCUGGGUUUUCAUCUAUUAUUUUGCAUAAUAGAAUUAAACACCAUACAAAAUUUUCGACAAAAUAGUUGUUAUUCUCAAUUUUGAAUUAUGAUCUCAAAAGGAAAAAAAUCCCAAAAGAACCUUAUUAAGAGGCCAUAAUAAAAGUAAUAAAUUUUACAUUUUAAAUAGAACUAAAUAUAACACUAAAAAUAUUAAUAUUUUACAUUUUAGUUGGGAUCUGGAACCAAAGCCGAAGUCGAUAACUGUACUUCUCAUAUACUAAAUCCGAAACUGAACCAACAACGCAAAAGCCGAGAUUUCGACUCAGGCCUUGUUUAGUUCUCAAGAUUUCUCAUUACAUCAAAUUUUGAGGCACAUGCAUGGAGUAUUAAAUAUAGAUAAAAAAUAACUAAUUAUACAAUUUGCUUGUAAUUUGUGAGACGAAUCUUUUAAGCCUAGUUAGUCCAUGAUUAGACAAUAUUUGUCAAAUAGACUAGACAAUAUUUGUCAAAUACAAAUGAAAAUACUAGUGUCCAUUUUAUAAAAAAUUUUGAAACUAAACAAAGCCUUGUGUCGAUUUGGCUCAGUUUUAGUUAAUGUUUAUAACCAAUUCAAAUAUAGUAAUCACAAUAUCUUCUUAUAACAAGAAUUAUUUGAUUUGUACCAUAAUCUGUUCUAACAUUAACUUAUAUUUCGAUAGUGACACAUGACAGAUAAAGUGUCUAACGGAUGCAGUGUAAGGAGCCGUUUGAUUGUAGAAACUGAAGUUUAAUAGGUGUUACAUUAAAUGCUAUAUGCGGUGGUUUAUAGAGUAUUUAGAUACUAAUAGAAAAACAAAUUACAGAUUCCAACACUACACGAGAUGAAUUUAUUAAGCUUAAUUAAUCUAUCAUUAGCAUGUAUUACUGUAGCAAUUAGUGCCUGAUCAUAGACUAAUUAGGCUUUGAAAAAUCAUCUUGCAAAUUAAUCUGUAGUUGUAUUUUUAAUUUCGUAAGUAGUCUUUUUUUAGAAAAAAAGGUUUUCCUGCUUUUGCAUUCCAAAAGCGAAACAAACAUCCUGUUUAGUGUUUUUGGCGCGCCCGCCUUACAAAACAUUCAGUUCUACGACGACAUCACUGAAUUGCUUAAAGCAUUUCUACCAGCUAACACAGUUUGAUCAUAAACUGCAUAAGCCUCUUCAGUAAACUGCUGGCUUGGAACCGCAACGCUGGAAUUUAAAAGCAGAGUAUCCAAUUGUGCCAACCCUAAUAACGAGUUCUCCUGGCUGCACCACGUCAGUUGAGGCGGAGAUAAAGCUUUUACCUCCAGCUGAACAAUCACUUCUUCGAUCCGCAUCAAGAGCAUCCAUCUUCUGAGCAUCCUGGCAAUUUUGAACAACAUAUCUUUCACCCCAUCCAUUUGCGACCCUGAAAACACAUCUCAUUUCUAAACUUCCACAUAGACCAUAAAACUGCAGAUGAGACUAUGUUAAGGAUCUUAUGUAUUUUGUUAGCUAGUCAAAACCGGGCCACAGAUUCAAAAUCCAAACCAAUUCUCACUCCUAGCACAUCAGCGAUAUAAUCCCUUAUCAAAUUAACAAAGCAGCAUUCAAAAAACAAAUGAAUAAUGGACUCAUUUUCAGCAUAGAAUAAGCAAGUAGGAUCAUCCACCUUCCUCCUUUUAGCUAGAUUAUCUCGAGUUAAAAGUUUAUUUUUGGACAAAACCCAUAAGAAGAAUUGAACUCUUGGUGGAAUGAAUAACUUCCAAACUGAACUAACAAAAACAAGAAUAAUCCCUCUAAAAUUAACCACGGCAUACAAAGAUUGAAUGGAAUACUGUAAGCCCAGACUAUUUGAUCAUCUUCUUGAGAAAGAUUAAUAUCACUCAUAAGAUCCACUAAUCCCACCAAAGAUUCAUCAAAUGUUCAGACAUAGAUCUUCUAAAGGUGAGCAUCAAAUUCUCACCAUCCUAGACCUCUUUCACAGUUUUGCCUUAUUGUUCAUUAAUAACAUACAAGGGCCAAUAUAAAAUAGCAAGACUUGUAUUUCCCACCCACUGGUCUUCCCAGAAUCUAACUUUUGAACCAUCACCUAAUUUCCAAUGUAUACCUCUCUUAGCAGCCUGCAUAGCCCAAAGAACACCUUUCCAGAAAGGAGAUGUACCAACAUAAGAGCAGCAAAGCACAUUUGGAUUUUCCGCUCUAUAUUUGAAAUCCACAAUUUUUGUCCAAAUUGUAUCUUUGUUGAGUUGGUAUCUCAAGAUCCAAACACUCAACAAAGCAAUAUUUAAACUUCUUAAAUCUGAAAUCCCCAAGCCUCCAAACUCUUUCUUCUGUGCCACCAAAGGCCAAUUAACUAGGUGAUAUCUAUGUUUUUCUUCAGAAUUAUCCCAUAGAAAAUGUCCCAUAUGGAAAUUAAUCAUGUCUAUAGUCCAUCUAGGGAACUUAAUAACAGAAAGAAGGUAAAUGGGGAUGCUUGCCAGGCAAACCCUCAACAAAGUGAGUCUGCCAGCAUAUGACAAAAGCCUUCCCCUCCAACCUACUAUCCUCUUAAUCACUUUAUCAAUAACGAUUGUAAGUCAACUCUCCUUAGCUUUGAGUAAUGAAGAGGUACACCCAAAAAUUUGAUUGGGAACUCACUUUUCUUGCAACAAAAGAUUUUUGCAAAAGAAUUAGAGCAUCCUCAUCCAUCCCAAUAGUGAGUAAAUCGCUUUUAUCGCAAUUAAUCUUCAUGCCAGACAUUUGUUCAAAGCAAACUAAAACCAUUUCAUAGAACUGGCUUUCUCUAAAUUAUUUUCUAAAAACAACAUGUCAUCGACAUAAUGUAAACUAAUAAUCCCACCAUCCACCACCUGAGGAAGUAAGCCUGAGAUUAAACCACACUUAGCUGCCUUCAUUAGCGUCUUUGUAAAAACAUCUGCUACUAGAUUAAACAGCAAGUGAGAAAAAGGACCCCUGCCUAAGACCUUUUCUUGGUUUGAAGAAGGUACUAUUUUCAUCAUUUAUCCUAACACAGAUAGAACCUCCUUCCACUAUCUUCCUGAUCUAGCUAAUCCAUAUGGAUUUGAAGCCUCUAGACUGGAGCAUCUCCAUUAAGGAGUUUCAACUUACUCUAUCAUAAGCUUUUUCAUAGUCCAAUUUGAGAAUAACCCCACAUUCUUUAUUUUUGUUAACCUCAUGAAUAAUUUUAUGGGCAGCCACCACGCUUUCCAGAAUGUAUCGUCCUUGUUAAUAAAGGAUGUUUGAUUAGAAGAAAUAAGUAUAUUUGCCACACUUAUCAGCCUAUUAUUGAGAAACUUACCAAAAAGUUUGAAACUACAAUUCAACAGACUAAUAGGCCUAAAUUUCUUCUAAUACUUGGCCUCAGGUUCUUUUGGAAUAAGCGUAAUCAUUGCAAAUAUAAUCCUCUCAAGGUGUAGCUCUUCUUUCUCAAAGGACCUAAUCAACAUCAUAUAAUCGCUUUUAACAAUAUUCCAAAAAGUUUGAUAAAAAAGGAAAGAAAAACCAUCUUGUCUAGGUGCACCUUCAGCAUAAGAGCCAAAAAUUGCAUCUCUUCUUCAGAGAAGGGGGCUUCUAGGAUCCUAUUCUCCUCUGUAGUGACUAACUCAUCUUCCUCCUAGAAAUCAGCCCCUAACUUGACCUCACUACUAGGUUCUCUACCAAAAAGAGAUUUAUAAAAGUGCACAACAUGCUCAAGCAUGCCCUUAUUAUCAUCAAUCCACCCCUCAGGGCCUUCCAAACCCUCAAUCAUUUUUUCCUAUUUCUUUGAUUAGCUACUGCCAUAAAAUAGGUCGUGUUCUUAUCACCUUCCUUAACUUGCCUAUCUCUAGACCUCUAUCGAGCCUUAAUUUCUUCCAUUCUCCAAAUGACUUUCAAAUCUCUAUUAAUAAUAUCCAACCUACUCUUCUCCUCCGAAGAUAAAGAUCUUCUCUCAGAUUGUCCAUCUAACAUCUGGAACUCCUCAAGGAGAUCCUUUUUAAGUUUUUUAAUACUUGCAUUGACGUUAAUAGCCCACCCUUUAAUCUUUUUUCUGCUUAAUCUGACUUGAAAAGCAUCUAGGCCCCUAAUGAGUUUCGGUGAUUAAUGACAAUGUUGAUUACUAUGACUAACGUGUGUUUUGCAGAGGCAAAGUCAUUAGUAUUAGGUCAUGGUAAUGAUGAUCGAUGGACUAGAAGGUUCAUGCCUAAUUAAUAGUGGAAAUCGUUUCGGUUUUCAAAGGAUGGUUGGACAUCGUCAAGACUAGACUAGAUCUAAGUGCCAUAUGGUGAAGAAGGGCACUUAGAGUAGUUUAGGACUUUGUUUUUUCCUUUGACCGUACUAUUAAGAGGGUCAUUGAAUGAGUAGCUUGAAAGAUUUUGUGUAGUAGUGAUUUAUACAUGUGCUCUCCUCUCUAUUUUAAGCACAGAAUCUACGUAUUCAUUGAUGUAGAGAACUUAUCAUUGGACGAAUUCUAACGAGCAAAGACAUUAGUGCUAAAGGCUCAACACCUGAGAUUACCAUCAAACACCAAACCAACAUGCAAAACAAGGCCUUCUUUAGUUCCAAAUUUUUUUGCAAAAUGGACACUAUAGCACUUUCGUUUGUGUUUGACAAAUAUUGUCUAAUCAUGGACUAACUAGGCUGAAAAGAUUCGUCUCGCAAAUUAUAGGCAAACUGUACAAUUAUUUAUUUUUUUUAUCUAUAUUUAAUGCUCCAUGAUGCAUGUGCCGCAAGAUUCGAUGUGAUGGGAAUGUGAAAAAUUUUGCAAAAUUUAUUGGGAACUAAACAAGGUCCAAAUGGGGGAAUAUUUUGCUAACUAUUAGUAGACCUAACGAUGAAGAGAGAGAGCUAAUGAAAACAGAGUUAAGGAUACAGCUAUACAAGAUCGGUUAUUGUCUUAGUUCAACACACAGGAUAAUGUUCAUUAUAUUUGUGUUUGAUAUAAUCCUAUCUAUGUUUGAUCAUUGUUUGAAAGUAUUAAAUAGUUACUAGACUGUCAAAUAGAUAACACAUUGUACAAAUUGUCUUUCACUUGACUAUGUGUGAGGUGAAAAAAAAAAGUUGUAGACAAAAACCGGCCAACUGAGACUACAUUUUGUCGUUGACUUGUGGUUGAUCAUCAACAAACAUAUGCGAUGAUCUCCGAAUAUGAAGAGAUCAUCAGGGCUGGAAUGGAUGCCGUGAAAUUGUUCCAGUUGGAUUGGUAGGUUUAUUUGUAGUAAUAUAGAUUAGGGUCCGUUCGUUUCUGUGCUGGAAUGCGGACCUGGAACCAUUCAAUAUUUUUUGUAACGGGUGAAGGUCUAAGUCAGACGCAUGGUGGUCCUUUGUCAAUGACAAAAAAAAUGGAGCUUUAGAUAUAUUGACAGCGGCCCCAGCCCCACCACACGGCCACACCAUGCAUUUCGUCCCCUAAAAUUUCGAUUUUCGAUUUCAAAACCAAACGGAGCCGAUCCCAACGUCUUCUCCUAUGCACACGGCUGACCACAGCUUUAAUUUAGUGCUCGUGUGCAUGCAGAACACAUGCAUUCUAUCUUAAACUAACAUACGACCUGCUCGUUGUGAGGAAGUAAUAUAAAUCAGUGAGCGAUCACCUUCGGCUGGCAGGGUUCGGAGUUCUCUAUCACUCGUCUCCUCCCACAACCAACCAACAAUCCACGCAAUUCGUCGGGAACCCUAGCCGGAUCUCAUCCGCGCCGGCGGCGGAAAUGGCGAAUCAUCCCCGCGCGGCGCUGCUGGAGGAGUACCUCGAGCGCGCGCGGGAGUACCUGGUCGAGGGCUCCGGCUGCUACGACACCUCCAUCACCUUCUUCAACGCCGCCAUCGUCCAGAUCGACAAGUGAGCUUCCCUAUUAUGCCGUGGAUUCUUCGGUGGCUAUCAGGCCACUACGGCGAAUUAUUAGCGAUCGGUCGGUGUGUGAAUCGCGAUGCAUGCCCAGCCCGCGCGGAUUUACCGGUUUGGCCGCACGGCAACGGUUUUCAUUUCGGCUGCUGCAUGCUUUCAGUUGUUUGUCAGUCUUAGUUUUGCUCUGUGGUGUGCUUUCUGCUGAAACGCCGGUUAUGUUGUUAUUAGGUCUAUCCCCAUUUUUAGUUUUCAUUUUUUUUUGAAAGAGAAAAAGAGACAAAUAUAAUUGGUUUGCAUCCAUAUAUUAUUAGGAGAAAUGAUUCACAUUCCUUUUCAUUUAGUAUCAACUAGCUUAUGUAGGAUAAAUUUGACGGUAAUAGUCGAAUACUGUAGGUGUGGGAAGAUAUUGAAAAGCUUAAAAAAAAUAUUUUCCUUGUACUUCAUGUUAGUAUAUGAUGGAUAAACUAUGCAGGCAUACCGAUUCAUACAAAAUGGAUGAACUAUCAUCAGAAAAUAAUGGGUGAAGUUAAAAAAAUUGUGAAACAGCUGUAUGCUUUGAUUCUUUAUUUUAGUCUUGCUAAAGUUUCAAAAUAGUAUGUGGUGUGUUCAAUAUAGAACGGUGGAAUCAUGUCAAAGUUACUGUUACAUACAUAAUAGCUUUGAAGCACUGUCCCAAUGGGCGGGGAAAUUCAUCACAUUCUUAUUUGUGUUCCAUGUUAUUAAGGUUAAUCUUAACCAUACAGGCAUCUAACUACUUUGGACAAUAAUGCUAAGAUUCGUACGAAAUGGUUGGACUGCAAGAACGCAAUAUAUGAAGAAAUGGAACUUACGAAACAGUUGGAUGCUCAAUUAAAGUCCCGUAAAGAAGCUCCUGGGACGAGGCGGUCAUCGUCACCUCCUAUUCGCUCCAAUAAUAAAUCAUUUGUUCUCCAACCAUUGGACGAGUAUCCCACAUCUUCACCAGCACCCUUUGAUGAUCCUGAUGUGUGGGCUCCACCAAGGGCUAAAGCAACCCGAAGACCAUCAAGACAUCAAUCUGGUGCAAGAAAAUCCUCCCAAGAUGGAGCCUGGGCACAUGGUUCAGCAAGGACUGGAACACCUAGCCAAAGCGCAAAACCUAAUGGGAGUAAAAGAGGCUAUGCGGUUAAAUCGUCAGCUGCCUCUAAGAGUUGUGUAAGGAAAGGAAAACCAAGUUCAAUCAAGGCUCACUCAGCGGUAAUUUCUAUCAAAUAAGUGUUUGCAUACCUAAAUCUUUUGUUUCAAAAAAUAUGAUGUGUAUUCAUUCUAAUUUCCAUUGUCCACAUUGACAUAAGGCAAACUAUCUGACUCUAAUUGAUGUGCUAGUAACUUGUUUUUUUUUUGUUUUUGGAAGUACAUCUAUGUAUCAAUAUUCAUAGUAGAAAAAAUACCUUUAUACCUCAAACAAAGCAUCUAGAUUAUGCGCUUCUUUUAUAAUUAGUUCUCAUGUGUAUAUACCUUUCAAACUAGCACCUUCUCAGUGCACACAGAAUUUGAGUAAACAUAUUUCUUUGGUGUAUUGCUCAAUCAAUCGUCUAUUGCCACUUAAUUCACUGUGCUUUCUAUAAGGUGGCUAACAUAAUAGAUUUUUAAGAUGAAUACUCAAUAUCAUCAUCAUCUAUCCCUUCUGUACCUGUGUCCAGGGAGGCUGCCAAGUAUGCAGUUGUGAUUAGCAGGUUGUCUUGGUCGGGACCCUGAUGCCUAGGCGCUGUGGUGGCAACCUGGGUCAGCGUACUUAAUGAUCAAAUCUUGAAGAUGAGAUAACAAUUCAGUCAAAUGAAGUCUCUUAUCUAUAUAUGUUGAUAUACUCGCAUUUACCACUUAUCUCCUCUGUGCCUAGAUUGUCUGCAUAUCUUUUAGGCAUAGCAUGCUAGCAUAGUAGCAUACUAGACGAGAAUUGACGUUUAGAUGGCAAAAGGAGAUAACAUAAAACUAUGAUGAAACGGCAGUGCCUAUCAUUAGGUUCUGAAUCAGGACACUAGAAUAUGCACGUGUACAAUCAUAUACCCCUGUUAUCAUCCUUCUGCCAAGAUAGGCAAUUGCCAGUGACCUCCUUUUUUUUCUGGCCAAAUUGCCAGCUACUGACUUACUUGUAAUGAUAAAGUUUCUGAAAAAACAUCAUUUUCCAGAGUAGUGGCGCUGAGGAAGGCAAGUCCAAGAAGGCUCAGUAUUAAGGGCCAGAUAUGGACUUAGCUGCAAUGCUUGAAAUGGAUGUUCUGGAUUCUACUCCAGGACUAAGAUGGGAUGAUGUUGCCGGACUUAGUAAGGCCAAAGACCUCCUCCGUGAAGCAGUUCAGCUUCCUGUCUGGAUGCCUGAAUAUUUUCAGGUAAUAUCUGCUAUGCAGUCUCUUAUUGGUUCAAACAUAGCACUGUAAAGUAUCUGAAAGAUGUUUAUUUAUUCUUGGCGCUAGCAAAUUUUACAGGCACAUAGCGAUGGGAAUGAUCUGGCAUUGCAACUAGUUUCUUAGUGCUCUAGCAUGGACAUCGUCUAGAUAUGCACAAUUACUGGUUUUUCUAUACCACUGUAGAAAAUGUUGCUUGGAACCCUAAUCAUUUUGAAUUUUUACUCUUUUAUGUUUAUGACCAUGGAUAUGAUAUGGCAUGAAACUGGUGCUUCCUUUAUUUGGUGCCACGGAUGGUUUCUGGAUACUUGUAUUUGUUUUCUUAAUUGUGACUGCAAUUUGGAUCAUGUUGUUCUCGAAUGAUCAUGAACCCAACCAAUCUUUUCUCUCUUGUAGUCCUUUUCAUCCAUUGUAAACUCUAUACAUAGUUGCUAAUUAUGUCUACUCUUCCUUAUCAGGGUAUUCGUCGACCUUGUAAAGGAGUUCUUAUGUUUGGUCCACCAAGCACAGGAAAGACUCUUUUGGCAAAGGCAGUGGCCACAGAAUGUGGAACGACAUUCUUUAAUGUUUCCUCUGCAACAUUGGCCUCUAAAUGGCGCGGCGAGAGUGAGCGCAUGGUCCGUUGUUUAUUUGACCUUGCGAGGGCCAAAGCUCCAAGUACAAUUUUCAUUGAUGAAAUUGACUCCUUAUGCACAUCGCGUGGGUAUGUCAAUUUAAUUUUGCUAAUUGUUGUUCAUGUCUUCAAGUCAAUGAAAAAUUCCUUAAUAUUUUGCAUCAUAAGCAUGAAUGUAUCAUUCUGCUGGACAACGAAAAUUGUAACUAUAUUGCCAGUUAAUGUAUUUAUCCAUUUUCUUUGUAAAUAUCAGAGCAUCUGGUGAGCACGAGGCAUCAAGAAGGGUGAAGUCUGAACUUCUAGUGCAAAUUGAUGGUUUAAACAAUAGCUCCACCACUGAAGAUGGUCAGCCAAAAAUUGUAACGGUUCUGGCUGCUACGAAUUUUCCAUGGGAUAUUGAUGAGGCACUGAGGUUGGCAAACUCUUAUUCUCAUAUUCACUUCAUUUUAGGUGCUACUGCCUACUUAUGAAUAGGGGUUGAUACCUGGAAGAUGCAUAGGAUGGUUUUCACAUAAACCAGUCAUACCAUAGCAGUAGAGCUUGAUUGCUUGAGUGGUGCUGCUAGUAGUGUUAGAUACUGUCGAAGUCGGAGGCGCAUUUUAUUUGAUUUCUCAACUUUUGACAUAAUCGUUUUGUCUCAUUCAUGCUGCAUUUGUCACACCACUGACCACUGUUUGUUUGGUAAGAUAAGAAACUAUCGUAGUUCAUAACUGCAGUAUAUGGAAGAUGUAAUUUACGAGAGACAAACCUGCACCUUGUAUAAGACAUGUAGCCAACACAGUAUGUAAGCAGUUAAGCACAGACACUUCUAUGAGGAUUAUAGGUGUUCACGGGUGAGGCUGAAAAAAUAGUGCUAGUCAUCCCAAAUUCACAUUAUAUCCCCGCUAGGACAAAAACCAUGCACCCACGACAGCAGCUGGGCCGUCAAACCAGCCAGUGAUGUAGGCAUCUAGGCUUGAGUGUGGGCUGUGUUUGAUCGGAGGCUACGCCCAAUGCUGCCUUAUAUAUACCAUGUCAUAUAAACACAAGUAUGUUAAACUUACCUAAUGCGUAUCUUCCAUCUUGGUGAUUUUUUUUCUUAGAAAUUCUAACUCAAUUGUUUGUUGCAUAUGCUGUAUCCAUGACACUUUUUUUUACUGGUUCAACAGAAUUUUGCCUAUAACUAGGCUAGCAGCAUUUUACCUGCUAGUUAUCAUUUACUCUAGUCUAGAUAUUUAUGUUCCACAUGAAAACACUAUUUUUUUUGUUUUUCAUUAUUAUCUUUUACCUGACUAUUCCCAUGUAUGCUACUACUUUUGCCAUUGAUACUUCUCUUCUCCAAACGCAUCUACCACUUCCAAUCCAAAUUAUAGUUCACUUUAACUUUAUCUUAAGUCAUUUUUUAUCUUUGACCAAGUUUAUGGAAAAAUGUAUCAAUAUCUACAAUAUCAAUUUUAUUUUCAUAAAAUUAUCCAUGAAAUAUUUAUUAACAGUGCAUUUAUUCAAAUUCAAAGUUGUAGAUGUUAAUAUAUUUUUCUAAAACUUUGGUCAAAGUUGAGAAGUCUGAUUUAGGAGAAAGCAAAAGAAAACUAUAAUUUGGAAUAGGGAAUAUGCUACUUUUGUUCACAUUAAUGUGGGUUGUUGACUCUUAAAUUGCCCAGCAGGAGGUUCGAAAAGCGUAUUUAUAUUCCACUUCCAGAUUUUGAAAGUAGAAAGGCACUUAUCAACAUUAAUCUUAGAACAGUUCAGGUAUGUGUUGGAGAUAUCUUUCAAGAUCAGCUUGUGAUAUAUUUAUCUCCUUUCCUUUGUUUCAUUUGAGUCUUUGUGAACAAAUUGAUUUUAUCAGACAUACCAUGAUGCACAUGUCAAAAUUGUUGGCACUUAAUUUUCUGAAAUCACAUGUACAUGCCUGCAUAUAUAUGUUGGCCUGCAUAUAUAUGUUGGCCUGCAUAUAACCAGUAUAUAUAUGUUGGCCUGCAUUUUUUUUCUUUUAUGAAUUUUUGAUUUUCCUAAUGAUAAGUAAAUGCCCUUGAAAAUGGAUACUUAUUUAAGAACUGCACUGGUGUUUUUUUAACGAAUUUGCUCACUACUCUAAUUCUGUACAUGUGGAUUAUCAAUUACUGUGUCAUAUCUUCAGUGGCUUAUUGUUAUUGCUGUACCUUCUUUUACAUCGACAGAUAGCUGUGGAUGUUAACAUCGAUGAGGUUGCUCGGAGGACAGAAGGCUAUAGUGGAGAUGAUCUGACAAAUGUUUGCCGUGAUGCUUCAAUGAACGGUAUGAGGUGCAAGAUAGCAGGCAAGACCCGUGAAGAGAUCAAGAACAUGUCAAAGAAUGGGAUAGCCAAGGACCCAGUGACCAUGUGCGACUUUGUGGAGGCCCUCAUGAAGGUCCAGAAGAGUGUCUCGUCUGCAGACAUAGAAAAGCAUAAGAAGUGGAUGACUGUGUUUGGGUCCGCCUGAGACCUUGGUCAUCCCCUUAUAUCGUCUUCAACAUUGUUUGUGUGGUUGACACGGUAUUUGGUAGCAAUAUAUGUUGUUAUCCGCUGGUGGUCUUGUUGCAUAGACCAAAGGCACAAACUAUCUUGUCUAUUUUCAGUGAUGCUAGGAAUUAAGUUCACAGUUAUAUUAUUUCAAUUCUUGAUAUGUACUUUCUAGCUGUGAAAUGUGCCUCAUCAAUUAGCCGUGGCAGCCAUUGUUAGAUGUUGAUUCAACGUGACUGCAGCUCUAAUCACUUUGUCACUGCGCAGUGCCAGUGCAGAGCUUUUUCUUUCCUUCUAUUUAUGGUCCUGUGUUUUGCAUUCGUCAGUUCCAAAUGUGUUGCCAUGCAUCCGUCAUGUUACAUAAAAGCACUUCUGCUAUCGAACGGUACAUUUGCUCUUUGUUCCAUUUGCUAUAGGCUUUGUUUAGAUACGAAUUUUUUUUGGAUUUCGACACUGUAGCACUUUUGUUUGUCUCUACCACGUAUAAUACACCAGUUGUGAACUUUACACAACCACACCAAUAAUUAUCCACCACAGUCAUGACUAUCCUACAACCACCCAAAAAAUUGCACCUAAUAUCAGCCAACCUUUCAAAUGAACGGAUAAGAUUUUACUUUAACCUCUCCUUUCUCUUACUCACUCAAAUCCAACGGAUCAGAUUCUAGGGACCAAACCUCAUCACUCAACCGUCACUCAUCCCAUCCAGCGCAUGCGUGAAUCGUGACACGCGACUCUGCUCUUCCCGACAUCGACUCUCCAUCUCCUCAAGGCCAAUCUCUCCCUCGCCAUCACGUCGCCAUCACGCUUGUUCGUGACGCAGGCUAGUCGACGCGUCGUUGCCGCUUCGCCUCCGUAGCUAGGAAGCCGCUCUGCCUCCGCCGCCUCCUCCGCUCGGACGCUGCUCUGCCUUUGAGACACAGCUCUCCUACGCCGCUCUACCUCCAUUGUCUCCUCCACUCGAACGCCGCUUUGACUCCGGGACGCCGCUGCCUCUUUCCUAGAGCACGGGACGCAAGGUAGGAGAGGCAUAGCGGAGGAGGCGGAUUCACGCACGCUGUCACUCGGCGGCUCGACGGGAGGUGUAGGGCGGUGGGAUGGAUGCCGCUGCCCCUAGAUCCACGAGCUGCGGUGAAGCGCCCCUGGUAAAUCAGGAACUCAAAUGUGAUACAAUACUAGUCCCAGGAGGCUAGUAACACAUUUAUUACAUCAGAUAAGUUUCAGCGCAGUAGUCUUGGAAAGCGUGGACAAGGAAGGCACGCGAUAAUAAUAAGACACCAAAAUACAACAUAUGUCCAAAGGACCCAGAAACAAACGAUAUCGCCAUCGAACAUCUGACGAGUCCCAAUGCCACAGGCUUAGUUGGGUGCAGACACGACCUUACUCGAACGCCACUUCAGGAUCGAAGUCCGGAUCUUCCUCUGUUUAAUAAAGCAAGGGUGAGUACAAAGUACUCAGCAAAUCCAACCUUACCCUACGGAAGGGGAUAACAAUAUAUAUGCAUAUGGAUAAAUCAAGGAUGAGGCUUAGUUUUAUUUGCAUAAAGCUAUCUUUUUACACAUGCAAGGUUUCAUUUCACAAAUACUGUUGUAAAAGACCUCUUUUUCCACAUAUGAUAGUAUUUCUGAAAAUGGGGGUUUUAUCACAAUUUUAAGUGUUGUUGAACGUUUAUUCCCACAACACAAUGGCAGUGAACCAUUUAUUUCCAAAAUCACACUCACUCUCAUGUUUUCACUCAUCCCAACCCAUCUAGUUGUUGAAACCAAACCAUAACCCGUUCGAGACCGCGGACACGGCUAUCCAGAUAGAUUUACACUCUGCAGAGGUUGUACACUUUUCCCACAAGUAGGAUACCAUAACUUACACCGUCGUGCAAGCACAGAUCCAUCAAAGUCAUUACCCUCCAUAGCUAAGUAAUGGCGCUCACCACGGAAACACUAAGACCACAUCUCAUGAUUCCACAAUAAUUCACAAAGCUAUUUUUAUAUAUUUCCACAAUUUCACAUACAUCACUUAGUGUCCCGUUGCACACCUGCCUCCAGGUGAUUGCCAUACUAACUAGAGGGAUUUAGACUAAGCCUUUCCCAUGCAAGGCGAGUGGUUGUACGAUAAAUGAGUUAGGCAAGAUGAAUCAUCAACUCAGUCCUUAAUCGAGACAAGGCGGAUAUCUUCACGCUUAACCCCGCAAGGUAUAAGCCACAACACCAGGGCAUCCCAAAAGAGAUCCCAUCCGCUCCAUCUCCAUAGUAAUCACAUCUAUAACUUGUUCAUUAACCCUUUCAUAAUACCCACAAUUUAUUUUCACCACUCACACCUUUUACUCUUAAAAUCAUUAUAUUUGAAAAAUAUAGCGAUGAGUAUCCAGGAUGAGUAACAAGUCCUAAGCAUACUAAAUAAUAAUAUUUCUGUCAUAGCAUAUUAUUUGUUCCUAGGUUUGAACAAGACAAUUACCGGGUAAUAUCAAUUCAAGGAUGGCUAUUCAAUAGGUUUUAACUAAGCAGCAAAAAUACUUCGUACAUAUAUCGUACAUGCAAUAUUUAAAACGGCUUCUACGGGUUAUGUUUAAAAAUAGGAUCAAUAUGCAUCAAAGGGGAUCGGUUGGACUUGCCUCCGUCGGCGUCCUCGGCAAACUCCUGCUGACAGUCCGGGUCCUCGGCGUCAAACUCGCGGUACUCGUUUCCAAUGUUCUCGUUUUCCGGCUCGUUCACUCCGUCAGCUAAAAUACGCGACGAACGACACAGACAACAGGCACAAAUAAAUAAUCAUAUAAAUUCAAAUGAGCUCCAAAAAUCAUGAAAUUAAUAUGGGAGGUAGAUCAUGAUUUUAGAUGAAUUUAGGAAAAAGAAUUAUUAAAAUCAGAGUUAGCAUGUGGUAUUUGUAAAAUGGCCGGACUUUAAUCAUGCGAAAAAGGCUAACGAUGAUUAAAAAAUACAUGCUUCACGAGAUGAAUUUUGGCUGGUAGUGCAUGUUGCAUGCAUGCAUGUACUAUUUGGAGUUAAUGCUUAUGGCCCACACAAGCAUGGUUAGAGAGAAAUUAGCAGGGGUCAUUAGAGCUCUUCUGUAUGUCAUGGUUCUAUUCGUAGAGUUCUUGGCAGUGAAUCGGUACAGACAAAUACAAGGAAAAAUACAGGAAAAUACUACAGAAAGACAGAGAAGAGCAAGGAGAUGCUCAUGAGCUGCUCACCUCGUCUUGCGACGACAGUCGAGCUCGGCUUGUGCGUAUGGCCGUAUACGGUAUACGCGAAGUGAGAGCGAGUGAGCGAGUGAGUGAACGUGUUUCUCGGGUGGUGAGAGUGAGCACCCGAGGCUGGCUUUUUAUAGGCCAAAGCGCUCAGCUGCGUGCCAUUAAAAAUGCUACUGUAGCGCAUAGUCGGUGCCUAAUUUGCAUGCACGAUGCAUGCAAAUUGACGGUGCCUAAUCACCGUGUCCUUGCAUGCAAGUGCAUGCAAAUGGACGGUGCGUGAUGUCCUGCAUUCAUGCAUGCAUGCAUGAGAUAUAUUCGUGUGUGUGCACUGUUAUGUUUUCUUGCAUGUAAGCUUGUUGGUACUCGUUGUUAUUUGUGCGCGAAAAAUAAAAAAAUAUGGAUGGAUUAGAUGGAGAUACUAUAGAGCUCAAAUUAUUUUAUAGUUUUUGAAAUAUAUUUUGAAAAUAUUUUUUUAAUGCGAGUGAUUUUUGAAUAUGAAUUUUUGGAUGUUACAAACCUACCCCACUUAAAAGGAAUCUCGUCCUCGAGAUUCGGCUGGGUCCUAAAUAGAUGGGGAAACUCUUUUCUCCGGGCAUCUUCUCUUUCCCAUGUUGCUUCUGCUUUAGUGUGUCUACUCCACUGAACACGAAAAAUUCGGACUGUUGUCGUUCGAGUUUGCUUGCUGACUGUAUCUAGGAUUUUUAUUGGCACUUCUUGAUAUCUUAGGUCGUCUUGUAAAUCAACUGUGUCUGGCGAUAUUUGUUCCUCUGGUACUCUGAGACAUUUCUUCAAUUGGGAGACAUGAAACACAUUGUGUAUAUCUGACAUUUCUGCAGGUAGCCGAACACGAUAGGCUACAGCUCCAAUCCUCUGUAAUACUUUAUAUGGUCCAAUAUACCGAGGUGCUAGCUUACCUCUGACUUGGAACCUUCGAGUUCCUCGAAUAGGAGAGACUUUGAUAUACACAAAAUCUCCAAUUGCAAAACUUAACUCUCGCCUUCUUUUAUCAGAAUACUUCUUUUGACGUGAUUGUGCCUCUUUCAAUUUUUCUCUGAUUUCAGCUACACAAUCUUCUGCUUCUUUUAUAAGGGCUGGUCCAAGCAAGGUUCGUUCUCCAACUUCUGACCACAUCAAUGGGGUUCUACAUUUUCUUCCAUACAGGGCCUCAAAAGGUGACAUGCCCAAACUAGCUUGGUAACUGUUAUUAUAGGAGAACUCUGCAUAAGUUAGGCUUUUCUCCCAAUCUUUACCAUACGUGAGCACACAUGCUCUUAGCAUAUCUUCCAUAAUCUGAUUUAUUCUUUCAGUCUGACCAUCUGUUUGAGGAUGAUAAGCUGAGCUAAAAUCUAGCUUGGUUCCCAUAGCUUCAUGCAAACUUUUCCAGAACUUAGAGGUAAAUUGGGUACCUCGGUCAGAUACAAUCCUACUUGGCACACCAUGCAAUUUGACUAUGUUAUCCACAUAUAGCUGGGCUAACUUGUCUCCACUAUAUUUGGUGCGUACAGGUAUGAAGUGAGCAACCUUGGUAAGGCGGUCCACUAUUACCCAUAUUGAAUCAUUUCCUUUCAGAGUUUUGGGUAAUCCAUUCACAAAAUCCAUGCCUAUCUCAUCCCAUUUCCAAACAGGAAUAGGCAAUGGCUGGAGCAAGCCUGCUGGUUUUUGAUGCUCCGCUUUAACCCUUUGGCAAACAUCACAUUGUGCAACAAAUCGUGCCACAUCAGCUUUCAUGCUAUUCCACCAAUAUCUUUCUUUUAGGUCCAUAUACAUCUUGGUGGCACCAUGGUGGAUAGAAUAAGCUGAGUUAUGAGCUUCAUUAAGGAUUAAUUCUUGAAACUUUCCCUCUUUGGGCACACAAAUCCUAUUUUUAUACCACAAUACUCCUUUGUUAUCCACUCUAAAGUAUGGAGCUUUAUUUUCUCCAGUUUGCUUACGAAUCUUCAUCAGAUCCUUAUCCUUAUGUUGUGUCUGUUUGAUUUCUUCCACAAGAGUUGGCUACACCAUCAGACUGCCAUUUUGAGGUUGGCGUACUAUAUGCAUGUUCAACUGUGCUAUCUCUUCUUGUAGGUGAGUGUUCUUAGGCACCAACUGCUGACCAUAUGGCCUUCUGCUUAGGGCAUCUGCUACCACGUUGGCCUUUCCUGGGUGGUAAUGAAUCUCAAGGUUAUAGUCCUUGAUUAAUUCUAAUCAUCUUCUUUGCCUUAGGUUCAAGUCUGACUGUGUGAAGAUGUACUUCAAACUCUUGUGAUCAGUGUAGAUUUCACACUUGUUUCCAAUGAGGUAGUGUCUCCAAAUCUUGAGAGCAUGUACUAUAGCUGCUAACUCCAAAUCAUGGGUAGGGUAAUUUUUCUCAUGAGGUCUAAGCUGACGAGAUGCAUAAGCAACCACUUUUUCUCCUUGCAUGAGAACACAUCCUAAACCUUGUCUUGAGGCAUCACAGUAUAUGAUGAAAUCUUGGUGAAUGUCCGGCAAGGUUAACACUGGUGCUGUUGUCAGUCUCUUCUUCAACUCUUGGAAACUCUUCUCACAUGAUUCUGUCCAAGUGAAUUUCUUACCCUUCCUAAGAAGCUCUGUCAUGGGUCUGGCUAUCUUGGAAAAUCCUUCUAUAAACCUUCGAUAAUAUCCAGCUAAUCCAAGAAAACUUCUAACCUCACUCACAUUGGUGGGUUGCUGCCAAUGGGAGACAGCUUCUACUUUCUCAGGGUCAACUGCAACUCCUUCAGCUGUCAAGAUGUGGCCUAGAAAUGCAACCUUCUCAAGCCAAAAUUCACACUUGCUGAAUUUAGCAUACAACUUGUGUCUUCUUAGCUUUUCCAACACUACUCUCAAGUGUUGCCCAUGUUCUUCAGCACUCUUAGAGUAGAUAAGUAUGUCAUCAAUGAAGACUACAACAAACUUAUCUAACUCUUCCAUGAAUACCUUAUUCAUGAGGUUCAUGAAAUAGGCAGGGGCAUUGGUUAACCCAAAAGACAUCACUGUAAACUCAUAUUGUCCAUAUCUGGUUACAAAGGCUGUCUUGGGGACAUCACUAUUCUUGAUCUUGAGUUGGUGAUAACCUGAUCUCAAAUCAAUCUUAGAGAAAUACUUGGCUCCUUUAAGCUGAUCAAAAAGGUCAUCUAUCCUUGGUAGGGGAUACUUAUUCUUGAUGGUGACUUCAUUUAGGGACCUAUAAUCCACACACAUCCUCAUACUUCCAUCCUUCUUCUUCACAAACAAGACUGGGGCUCCCCAUGGUGAAGAACUUGGUCUAAUAUAACCUUUCUGCUGCAAUUCUCUUAGCUGCUCUUUUAGUUCAGCUAACUCUGCCGGAGCCAUUCUGUAAGGUCUCUUGGCUAUGGGGGCAGUCCUAGGGAUAAGAUCAAUGAUGAACUCUAUAUCCCUGUCUGGUGGCAUUCAAGGUAGUUCCUCAGGGAAUACAUCAGGGUAUUCUUGCACUAUUGGUACUUCCUCUAUGGUCCUUGCAUACAAGUUGAAGACCAUUGGAUUAACUUUAGAUCCUCGGGUUUGGCAUUUCACUUUAAUCCCUUCAUGGUUAACUAAUGAUACUUCCUUGGUUGCACAACUAAUAAUUCCAUUGUGUCUGGUUAACCAAUCCAUUCUGAGGAUAACAUCUAUUCCUUUGGACUUGAGCACUACUAAGUCUGCUAAGAAAACUACCCCACUUAGAAUGAUCCUUACAUUUGAACAACCUAGAUGACAUUUGAUGUCAGACCCAGGCGUUCGGGUUAUUGGGGGUAACUUUAGUAGUACUGUGGGUAUUUGAUGCUUCUCAACAAAGCUUGAUGAUAUGAAUGAAUGUGAUGCUCCAGAAUCAAAUAAUACUGUUGCAAGUACUGAAUCGACUAAGAACUCACCAAGUACCACUCCUGAAGCAGUCUGAGCAUCCUGAGCAUGAAUAUGGUUGACACGGGAUCUACCUUAGGAUUGUUGAGGUUGCUUCAUCAUCUGGCUAUUAUUGUUGGUGUUGCUAUUGUUGCGAGGGAAACCACGGUUGACUCCAGAAACUGCAGGUCUUGGUCCAUUAACAAUAUGGGACUGAGUGGAUACUGCUGGUGGGUUGUUCUUGUAGGGACAGUUGGCAAUGUAGUGUCCAGUCUCAUGGCAAUUAAAGCAAGUCCUAACAUUGUUUGUGACUUGACCAGUGUUGUUCUGUUGAGUCUUGCCAUAAGUUUGAUUCUGAUAGGUUGUCUUAGGCUGAUAUGAUGACUGCAUUUGGUUAUUGGAGACACUAGCAGGAGAGCGAAACUGCAUUGGGGCUUGAGUCCGCUGGCUUGGUUGGCUAAAGGUUUUCAGCCUCUGGGAUCUAGCACCAUCUUGAACCUUGCGCUCUAGAAACUUGCGCUUGUUUUCUUUCCUUUCUUCGGUCUUGGCCACAUCAGUCAGAAUGGUCCUGUUCAUCAAGGUGUUGAAGUCUAGAUAGAUCUGUGGGGUCAUGAGGGUUCUGAGCUCACAGGUCAAUCCUUCUAUGAACUUUGUCUGCUUCUUGGCAUCGGUGUUGACCAAUUCUGGGGCAUAGCGAGACAAUUCAGUGAAUUGGGAAGAUGUACUACUUAGAGUUUUAUUUCCUUGCUUCAAGUUGCGAAAUUCAUCAGCUUUCAGCUUCAUGAUUCCAUCUGGAAUGUGGUACCGACGGAAUUCGUCCACAAAUUCUUCCCAUGUGAUAGUGUUUGCAUUGUCUAUAGCUCCACUAUAGGCUUCCCACCAAGAAAAGGCAAUUCCUGUCAGCUGAUGAGAUGCUAGAAGAACUCUAUCCCUUCCAUCGCAGUGGAUUGUGUCCAACUUCCUUUCAAUCACCUUAAGCCAAUCAUCUGCUUCCAUGGGGUUGUCAGAUCCAGUAAAGGUGGGUGGCUUAAGCCUCAUGAAUUCAGUCAUCUUGUCUUGGACUCCGGCUCCACGGUUGUUCCUAGGACGGUUCAUGCCUUGAGCCAAGGUCUCCAGAAGGCGAGUCUGAGUUGCCAUGACUUGUGCUAAGUCAAUUACUGGAGGAGGGGGCAAGUCAUCUCCUUCAUUAUGGUUCCUAGUCUAACUCACUUCAUCUUCAUGAAUACCAUCAACAUUUGCAUUGGCUUGACUUCCAUUUGGAUUUUGGCUUUGUCUACUAGCUGCACGACCACUUGGUUGAGAGCGGGUAGCUGGUUUGGGAGGCAUUUGUUGGUUAAGAUGAGAAAGCAUUAGAUAAGAGUUAGAUCUAUUGAGUGAUGUUGUUUUUUUGUUAAGGCGUUAUAUUUUAAAAAGAUGCAAGUUUUAAGACUUGCUAUCCCGUAAGGGAACAACAUAGAGCACUCAAUUAUUUAGCACAACCAACAAGCACAAAUAUAUAUUUUGAAUAAGAGGACGGUUUACAACAUAGUAAUGGACGAAAUAAGCGUACUACAAUACGGUUCAUCUACUUUGGGGGUUGAACAAAAGUGAAGUAAACUUCACUUCCCCAAGACAUAAGGAGGAACUAGGUGCUACUAUUCUUCAACUUCUUCGGACAGAACAGCUUCUUCCUUUGGUGUUGAGGAGGAUCACGCUUCCGGCAUUUGUGGUUCUUCUUUUGGACUAAGAGGUGGGUCACUGUCUUCUUUUGGUGCUAGCUGGGUGAGGAGGGGAAAUCCUUCUUCCUUAGUGGACUCCAACUCUAAAGCUUCAUGAGAGGCUUCUGUGGGUGGGGGAGCUGAUGGCCCUUCUAUGUCCAUCUUUCUUUUGGUUUUUAGGGACAUGAUUGGGAUACCUUUUAGGACUAUGGGCUCUUGGUCUUCCUCUGCUAACAUCCUUAUUUUGAUCCUGGUGAUAAGGUAGGCAUCCUUCAAGUCCUGAGCAUGGCGGUCUUCAGCUGCCUUCAAGACUUCAGCAAUGGCAGUUUCACGACUCUCGGCUGCAGCUGCUUGGGCCCGAGCUUCCGCAAGCUGCACAUGGAGCUUUCUAACUAUGAUCUCGCCUUCCUCCGCACGAUGGAUGCACUUCCUUAACUCUGAGGCCUGCUCAUCGUAUUGCUUAUCUAGGGCAAGUAGGUAUGUGGUCAUGAAUACCACAGUUGGGUCAUCUUCAAGUGAGUAACGUCCUUGCAAGAGCUCUAUGCGGGUCCUCCAAACUGGUCGGUCUUUUUCGUCGGGUGGAAAGAACCUCAUGGGUGUACGUGUGAUGGGCUUCUCGUAGAUUUGGCAUAGGUACCCCAAGGCUUUGCGGGCGACGGCUUGAUAUGUAUCUGCAAACCGAAAUCCGGUCGCAGUCAUACUCCAAGCUUCGGCUAUGUUAGGGAAGUCCUCACUUUUCCCAAUAUAGAUGGUAACUUCACACCGCUCGGUCUCAUGUUCUUCAUAUUCUCUGCCUUCAUAUUCUGGGCGAUCCUUGAUUCCAAAUUUCUGCAUGGUAGCAUACAAGAGCUUGGGAAAGCCUUCUACACUUAGACAGUAACUGCUGGUCCAAACUCCUUCUGCCAUCUGAGAGACAUAGAUGAGAGUAAAUAUUUUUUUCAAAUAGAGGGAAGAGGGUAAGAACUUUUGUAAAAUACGUUUAUUUAGUAAAAUACUGGUCCAGAAAACCCUAAGGUCGCGUCCUACAGCCAACUACGGCUCUGAUACCACCUGAAGCGCCCCUGGUAAAUCAGGAACUCAAAUGUGAUACAAUACUAGUCCCAGGAGGCUAGUAACACAUUUAUUACAUCAGAUAAGUUUCAGCGCAGUAGUCUUGGAAAGCAUGGAGAAGGAAGGCACGCGAUAAUAAUAAGACACCAAAAUACAACAUAGGUCCAAAGGACCCAGAAACAAACGAUAUCGCCAUCGAACAUCUGACGAGUCCCAAUGCCACAUGCUUAGUUGGGUGCAGACACGACCUUACUCGAACGCCACUUCAGGAUCGAAGUCCGGAUCUUCCUCUGUUUAAUAAAGUAAAGGUGAGUACAAAGUACUCAGCAAAUCCAACCUUACCCUACGGAAGGGGAUAACAAUAUAUAUGCAUAUGGAUAAAUCAAGGAUGAGGCUUAGUUUUAUUUGCAUAAAGCUAUCUUUUUACACAUGCAAGGUUUCAUUUCACAAAUACUGUUGUAAAAGACCUCUUUUUCCACAUAUGAUAGUAUUUCUGAAAAUGGGGGUUUGAUCACAAUUUUAAGUGUUGUUGAACCUUUGUUCCCACAACACAAUGGCAGUCAACCAUUUAUUUCCAAAAUCACACUCACUCUCAUGUUUUCACUCAUCCCAACCCAUCUAGUUGUUGAAACCAAACCAUAACCCGUCCGAGACCGCGGACACGGCUAUCCAGAUAGAUUUGCACUCUGCAGAGGUUGUACACUUUUCCCACAAGUAGGAUACCAUAACUUACACCGUCGUGCAAGCACAGAUCCAUCAAAGUCAUUACCCUCCAUAGCUAAGUAAUGGCGCUCACCACGGAAACACUAAGGCCACAUCUCAUGAUACCACAAUAAUUCACAAAGCUAUUUUCAUAUAUUUCCACAAUUUCACAUACAUCACUUAGUGUCCCGUUGCACACCUGCCUCCAGGUGAUUGCCAUACUAACUAGAGGGAUUUAGACUAAGCCUUUCUCAUGCAAGGCGAGUGGUUGUACGAUAAAUGAGUUAGGCAAGAUGAAUCAUCAACUCAGUCCUUAAUCGAGACAAGGCGGAUAUCUUCACGCUUAACCCCGCAAGGUAUAAGCCACAACACCAGGGCAUCCCCAUAAGAGAUCCCAUCCGCCCCAUCUCUAUAGUAAUCACAUCUAUAACUUGUUCAUUAACCCUUUCAUAAUACCCACAAUUUAUUUUCACCACUCACACCUUUUACUCUUAAAAUCAUUAUAUUUGAAAAAUAUAGCGAUGAGUAUCCAGGAUAAGUAACAAGUCCUAAGCAUACUAAAUAAUAAUAUUUCUGUCAUAGCAUAUUAUUUGUUCCUAGGUUUGAACAAGACAAUUACCGCGUAAUAUCAAUUCAAGGAUGGCUAUUCAACAGGUUUUAACUAAGCAGCGAAAAUACUUCGUACAUAUAUCGUACAUGCAAUAUUUAAAACGGCUUCUACGGGUUGUAUUUAAAAAUAGGAUCAAUAUGCAUCAAAGGGGAUCGGUUGGACUUGCCUCCGUCCUCGGCAAACUCCUGCUGACAGUCCGGGUCCUCGGCGUCAAACUCGCGGUACUCGUUUCCAACGUUCUCGUUUUCCGGCUCGUUCACUCCGUCAGCUAAAAUACACGACGAACGAUACAGAUAACAGGCACAGAUAAAUAAUCAUAUAAAUUCAAAUGAGCUCCAAAAAUCAUGAAAUUAAUAUGGAAGGUAGAUCAUGAUUUUAGAUGAAUUUAGGAAAAAAAUUAUUAAAAUCAGAGUUAGCAUGUGGUAUUUGUAAAAUGACCGGACUUUAAUCAUGCGAAAAAGGCUAACGAUGAUUAAGAAAUACAUGCUUCACGAGAUGAAUUUUGGCGGUAGUGCAUGUUGCAUGCAUGCAUGUACUAUUUAGAGUUAAUGCUUAUGGCCCACACAUGCAUGGUUAGAGAGAAAUUAGCAGGGGUCAUUAGAACUCUUCUGUAUGUCAUGGUUCUAUUCGUGGAGUUCUUGGCAGUGAAUCGGUACAGACAAAUACAACGAAAAAUACAGAAAAAUACUACAGAAAGACAGAGAAGAGCAAGGAGAUGCUCAUGAGCUGCUCACCUCGUCUUGCGACGACAGUCGAGCUCGGCUUGUGCGUAUGGCCGUAUACGGUAUACGCGAAGUGAGAGCGAGUGAGCGAGUGAGUGAACGUGUUUCUCGGGUGGUGAGAGUGAGCACCCGAGGCUGGCUUUUUAUAGGCCAAAGCGCUCAGCUGCGUGCCAUUAAAAAUGCUACUGUAGCGCAUGGUCGGUGCCUAAUUUGCAUGCACGACGCAUGCAAAUGGACGGUGCCUAAUCACCGUGUCCUUGCAUGCAAGUGCAUGCAAAUGGACGGUGCGUGAUGUCCUGCAUUCAUGCAUGCAUGCAUGAGAUAUAUUCGUGUGUGUGCACUGCUAUGUUUUCUUGCAUGUAAGCUUGCUGGUACUCGUUGUUAUUUGUGCGCGAAAAAUAAAAAAAAUAUGGAUGGAUUAGAUAGAGAUACUAUAGAGCUCAAAUUAUUUUAUAGUUUUUAAAAUAUAUUUUGAAAAUAUUUUUUUAAUGCGAGUGAUUUUUGAAUAUGAAUUUUUGGAAUGUUACAUGCGGCUCCUCCUCCCUUCUUACGAGCGUAGGCGGCGUCGGAUAGGCGGAUUCACGCGCGCCGUCGCUCGGCAGCUCGAUGGGAGGUGCAGGGCGGUGGGACGAACGCCGCUAUUUAGGGACGGUGGCUCGAACAACUCUUGGAUCAACGAACAGUGGCGUUCGUCCCACCGCCCCGCACCUCCCGUCCAGCCGCCGAGCGACAGCGCGCGUGAAUCUGCCUCCUGUGCUAUGCCUCUCCCACCUUGCGUCCCGUGCUCUAGGAAAGAGGCAGCAGCGUCCCGUAGUCAAAGCGGCGUUCGAGUGGAGGAGACAAUGGAGGCAGAGCGGCGUAGGAGAGCUGCGUCUCAAAGUUGGAGCAGCGUCCAAGCGGAGGAGGCAGCGGAGGCAGAGCGGCUUCCCAGCUACGGAGGCGAAGCGGCAACGACGGUGUCGGCUAGCCUGUGUCACGAACAAGCGUUGCUCAGGUGCCCUGCCUCGGUGAGCUCCUCCCUCUGCUGCCUCUGUUUUUUACUGUCCGGAUCUGCCAACCUAUGCUCCUGUGCUGUGCUAGAGAUUGGCAUGAGAAAUUUGCUGAUUUGGGAUUGGUAAGAGGCGAAAAUGAGAUUGGGAUUGUGUUUAUGGUUCACAUCGCCCGAUAAUGUUGCUCACCUAGCAUCCCGUAGGAUCCCCUUCCUUGUCGGAGGUCGCAACGCGGCACCAUCCCAAGGCUAGUUAUCCUGUCUAGCAAGGCGGCAUCCCUUCGCUACACCUGUCUAGCAAGGCGGCAUCCCUUCGCUAUGCCAUGGCCCUUCAAUAAUCCAGCCGUUCAUUGUCUUCUGGUUGUGGAGAAGGCAAGUUGGCGCAUGAGGUUUGGCGAGGCACCAGUAGACCCAGUGACACUGAAUCCAAGGCCUCGGCCACCUUCAGAUAGAGGUCCGCAACUGUUGAUAUUUGGUAACGCAAUUAGAAAAUGAUCCGCAAGCGCACGGAUAUCGGUGAGCAUUUCACCCGGGAGGUUUUCCAGAGUAUCGUAUUUAUAUUUUUACCACUGGGAGAAAGGGUGCAUCUGACUAACCAAAUCUAUUGCUACUACCCCUUUAGGCUACAAAGAAUGUCUCUCGAUGUGAGUGAUGUAUAGAGAAGACUGCAACCGUAGUCUCGUUCUAACCUUGGUAAGGAUGAUCUACUGUUCUAUUGGGGAGGCUCACGGAAUCUAGACAACACAAAGGAUGUUUGACCCGCACCUUUAACCCUACCCGUCCUGCUAACGAGAUGUGAUCUACAAAGGUAACUCGGAAAUGUCACGUUCCUCGCUACUACCACGGUCCAGCUAGUCAGGGGAUAUCUAUGAGUACCCUAGCCUAAACACCACGUUUACGCUAACAAGUGAUUACUCUAAUACUCAACCGGAAGAGGAUUAAAGUAAACUCAUAAACCAAAGAACAAUAAAACAAGAACUUACUAGUAUUAGAAGUCGAAUUACUGAAGAAUCUUAGAAGCAAGCCUCGGGUUAGGAGACUUGAUCCUGUAGGUACAACUCGGAGUAGACACCGACAGGCCGGCCUUCUUCCGAUCCACACCUCCACUCUAUCUCUCUCAAUCUAGUAGAAACUAGAAGAUCUAUUUCUACCUUACAUUGGUUGCUAAGCCUAAAAAGAAAUAUUAUUUAGAGAAGAGGUUUUCCUUCGAGGGCACCCCUCAAUCUCUAUGAUAAUUUCUUGUCUUCUCCAGGGCCAGGGGGGCCUUGCUUAUAUAGUCCUCCCCUUCUAUGCGUUUUUGGGUCGAUAGGUGAGGUGGUACUAUGUUUUCCUUGAUCCAAUAGGUCGGUGGAACAUCCCGAGCGAAAGAGUCCUGAUUUGGCUCCAACAGGGGGGCGGGCGCCCAGGCUACCAGGGCGGGCGCCCUGGGCCUGGCCCAGUUUCGCCUCCGCUUCGGUCUCGUGGCUUCUGGAGUCUUCUAGAUGGUAGAAAAUUGCGCGGUGGGUUGAUAUCUCUAUGUAAUCCCGACAUGUGGGCCUUUCUUUCUUAUUUCCUGAUAACCCCCUGCAGAAAUAGACAAACACCAAAACUCGUAGAAUUCUGUCAGAUAAAACCCUAAGUCUAGAUGUUGAUUUCAUUUGGAUCCUUUUCUUUGUUUAUUUGAUAAUUAAAUUUGAUACUUAAGGACCGUCAACAAACUCCCCCAAGCUUACCUCUUGCUCGUCCCUGAGCAAGGAUAGACUCAGCUAUGGAUCAUAAAUUGUUGCAAUAUUUUUUUAAAAAAAUUGAUGUACACAUGCUUUUUUAAAUAAGAUCUCAUCUCUGAGUUAGAGUAAACUGUCAAGACUUAAAACUUACUUACUUUACCUUCACCAUGGGACUUGUAACUGUCACUUCUGUCUUGAGUGGUUAAAAGAUAGAACAGUCUGGCCAAGUGCCAUGUCUCUUAUUCUUGAUCAGCUAUAGCUCUGGGGUUUUUUUGCAGAUUUUCAAAUAAAACUCAGAAAUUCCUUGUAUGAUUCUCUCAGGUCUCUCUUUUGUGGUAUUUUUGGAUCCUUACCAAGGCAGUGAUGGUAUAUGCCUUCUCUCAAGAUAUGUAGUAUUUGUGGUAUGAAGCAUAGUGACAUUGUCUUCUCUCUCACCCUACUCUAAUAAGGCUUUAAUAUCUGGAGCUCAUAGGUGGGACAUAAAGUAUACAUACUUAUAAGACAUUUAUUGCAUAGUCAAACCAUGGAUCCAGAGAAACAAGUCAAUAAGUCAAAUCAAGAUGUGCAUGUGUGGCGAAUGUAUGGUGUAUGGUGAUGAUGGUGAUAACAAUGGUGAAAGUCUAAUUCUACUUUUGCUCUUUUAAGGGGAUACAUACCUUUCUUGCACUUAGAAGCUUUUUGGGGAGAAUGAGAUGCUCUAUAUUUUCUUUUUCUUACCUCUCAGGUGGGUAUCUUGUACCCCUAAUUCUACUGUCGGACACUUGUCCAUUUUUACCUCUCGUCUCACUUUUUUCUUUUUCUUUCGAGGUUCCGAGCACUUGCUCCUUUUUAUUUCCUCGUAUAUUUUUUCUUUUUUUUUAAGAGCACUCAUCUCUUGAGAUAAUAUAGCAAGUGGUAGUAACAAGAUAACUUGAGCAUUUAUUUCACAAGAGAAAGACAGAAAUAUUUUUGGUUAUUCUCUCCCGGAUUAGGAGUAGAAUAUUUUUGAGUGGUUCUGGAGAUAGAAAUGGAUGGAUAUAUGUGGAUGGUACUUCCGGAAUAGAAGUAGCAUAUAUGAGUGGAUGUGCAAGUGAAAUCUUGAUUUAACCACAUGACAAGCUCCUAAGGGUCUACACAGCUUGACCACACUCAAUGCUCAUAAGCAGUAAAUAGUAAAUGUGUGGCUCAAGGUCUAGCAAGCAUGUAUAUGUGGAUGUGGUAGGAAUUUAAACUCUCAUCAUACAGGAACUCAUCAUGCAACAUUUUAAAGAUUUUAAAGGUAAAAUUCUCCAGAAUUCUAGCAUCUCUAAGAACAGAUAAACAGCAGCUCAACCUUCCCAUAUCGUAUCCGUUAACAACUUAGACUUCAGAUCAAGUUUUCAUCCCACAAGUUUAGGUCUAGAGCAAGCCUUAAAUUAUAAUAGUUAUAUCUAAACUUGAGAGAGAACUUUAAAUUUGCAAAUUAGGCAGAGCAACUAUUCAUCAUAUCCAUGCUUAACUUUUAUUAGAUACAGAUUAGCAUAGCCACUUUAUUUAUUUAUUAAACAUACUAAGCAAAAUAUAUAUAAGCAUAAAAUUUUUAUUUGGUUUUUCAUAGUUAUGUGUACUUAUAUUCUAAUAUAGUAUAAGUAUAAAGAUAGAUAGAAAUACUUAUCGAGAUAAAUGGGGGUGCUCUCCCCCAAGCUGAAUUUUGACGUAAUUUCUCUUGAUGUAGCUAGCAGGUGGCAGAGGUGUGUUUGAAAGUCAGCAGUAUUUUGACAGCGAUUAGAAUGUCCUUCGUCUGCUAGUCUUCUUGAUUCUUAAAUUCUGUGGAGCUCAAAUAGACAACAAAGCUUGUGGAACUGAUUAAGUGUUAGCAUAAAUAUCUAGCCUUUAUCAUGUUGAGACUCCUUAAUAAAUAUUACUCCCUGUUUUUAUAUUUUUGUUUUUAUAAAGCAGAAAAAUAUUUAUUUUAUUUUUAUGCCACCACAGUGAAUGUACUUAUGGGUUUUAUGUCACUCGUCUACUCACAGGGGGCUUACAGUUUUUUUUUCGCAUUUUUAUUUUCUUUCUAGGAUAAUACGAACAUGAUUAACUAAGUAAACUAUUUGAAAUAAUUAAAAGAGAAAGGAUAACUACCAAGUUUACCUCUUGGCAAGGCGUUCGGUAUUUUUAAGUCCUCUGAACGGGACUCUCCGUUUUCUUAGUCGUCCUCGGAUUCGCUAGGUGGCGUAGUCGGUGAUUCCGGCGGCGCCUCUUCGUCGUGUAUAACUAUCUUCUCUCUCCACACCUAACUCGGUGCUACGGUCUCCUCAGGACAGUUCUGUUCAAGUUGUAUGUCUUCAGUCCUUAUCACUUUUCCUUCGUAGUCUACCCAUCCGUCCUUGAUGAUUUGCCUCCUCUGGUUGCGGUUGCGUUGUCUUCUUCUUGUCCUGACCUGUUUAGAAUCUUCAACUAUAUAAUCAUUAAAGUAGUGGCGUACCUUUCUCAGAGGGGAAGUGCAUGUGGACUUCUCCGGUUCCAAUAUAGAUAAUGGCUUUGAUAGUGUUGAGGAACGGUCUUCCAAGGAUGGUGGGUGGAUCAUACUUGUCUUCUCCCAUGUCAAUGACCUGAAAAUUGUUUGAAGCUGAAUGUAUCUUGGUUGUAGGGGCAUGGUUCCAUGCAGGAGCUGAUAAGUGACUGCGGCCAUUAUGUUGUCGUCAAAUCCGGUGUCGUAGAGUGUCUUCUGAAAAGAGUAUCUCCUUGAGCUGCAGUGACCAUCUUAGCUGACUCGGUCCACAUUUGUUUGUUCCUUUUCCUCCUGUUGGUCCUCUUGCUUGGUUCAUGUCGGGAUUGCUCUGAAGCUUGUGUAGUCUUGUUCUUGAAGGAAACUCUCCUUCUUCCCCUUGAUAUAGAGACUGAUCUUGGCAGCAUUAGCGUAGAUGACUGCUCUGGUGUUUAGGAAUGGCCUCCCUAAGAUGAUGGGUGCCCUCUUCUCAGUACCAGUCUCUAUCACCACGAAGUUUGCUGGAGCGUACAAGGUACCAACUCGGACACAGAGGUUCUUCAAUAUUUCCUUUAGGAAACUAAGUGUCUAAUCUCCAUUGUGUUUGUGCUCGUAGAUCCCGGUUCUUCACUUAGUGGAAUUUGGGAGUUGUAAAACUCCUCCAUGUUUUGUUUGAAGUGUACCUAUUCAUGGAGACAAGGCAGAGAUCAAGUGCAUGGGCCCUGUUGGUGGAAAACACCAACAGAACCAAAAGUGUAUUUGUUGUUCUCUAACCUUAAGCAUAGUGAGCAAGACAAAGUUGAUGGAUAAUAAGAUCAUGAGUGUAGUAUUUAAAACAUUUGUCAGUUCAGAUUGAUCGACCUAAUGUAAAGAUAAUCUAUCUAUGUAUAUGUCUUUUUUCUUUAUAUCUUCCCAAAGAUUGAAUGUGCAACAUUUUAGCUUAUAUGAUUGGGAGUGUGAGAUCACGAAGGUAUCACUAAGAACAAAGAUUAAAGGACUAAACAUGCUGAAUUAAUUGAGUUGGUUAAUUUGGAGUUAUAAAUCAUACAUGUUUGUCUCUUUUAUUCAUGUGUAUGCCAGAACGAAAGAGAACUUAUAAAAGUGAUAAUCAAGUACUUUAAGAUGUUAUUGAAGAGUGAUGGUAUAGUAUCACCUUGUGGAAGCUUUCCUUUCUUAGUGGUUGUGCAUCGUGUUUGUGGCACCCUCCAUGAAUCAUCUCUUUAUGAUGAAUGAGCUAUGUCCUUCUUGUGCAAAAUGUUAAAUUUCAUGUGUCUCCUUUAUCUCCAAUGAGUUUGUAUCUCAGGACUUCCCAGGUUGAUAUUGAAAGUUUUCCUGCAGGGGUUAGUCCCACAAAAUAUGCCAAUAUCUACACAAGCAGUUUUUAGUUCAGUAACCAAACUAGACUCCAUGUCUAAUCAGAUUAAGGAAGGCUGUUUAACCUAAGCACCAUGCUUAAUUUAAAAGCCAAUGGAAGUAUGUCGAGUACUUCCAAACCAACACUUACUAGGAUAAACAAAGGUAGCACGAUGGCAUUUAUAGAGAUCUACUCAAGUGGAGAUGAAGUAGUGUGAUUAGUACUUAACAAAUUGAGCAUCUCUCAAAGGUAGGGACAACCAACGUAGCAACAUGGCAAAGGAUGUUUUUAUGUAAAGUACUCCCCCAAGCUUGAAUUUUGCAAAAUUCAAGUUUGGAUGAAUUUAAUUCAAUGUUGUGUGAUGGUUGGUUGGACAUACCUUGUGCUUGUCAUUCAUCCGAUCUUCUUGCUCCAAUCCUGGUAAGGUUAGUGGCAAAAAUACCCGAAGGAAUAUUUCUACAAUUAUCUCAAUAUGCUCAAUACACAAGGCAAUGUUGCAAAUAAUUAGAAGUUCAUGUCACAAUCUGAUAGGUGCUUGUUUUAGGACACUAAGCUUGUCCUUGGGAAACUAUCAAUCAACUCAACGAGAUCUGCAAUAUUUAUUAUAGACAUAUGCAUCGACAACCGCUCUUUUAAAGUUUUUAUAAAUAGAAAGGAAGAGGGGGUUGGAGAUCCCAAAUGUGGUAAGGAUGGAGAGACCAUUUGAUUGGGGAGAUGUUUUAUAUGAGCAAGGACUGGGUGAGGUAUUUAUGAAAUAACUUCCACGCUCACUGUUGUUUCUCUCAUUCUCAAACUCCAAGGAUGAUUCUUCAUGAAUGUUUAAAAUUCCUCUAGGAUUGUCUCUCAAGUUUGUUUUAUCUAUCCAUUCAAUGGUGAUAGCACAUGGAUUUUUAAUGCCCUCUAGCCAUUGAUGUUGCUCUUCUCGAUCCUCCUUCUUAUGCAUGGGAUGUCUAGAGAGAUUCAUAGGAUUAUCGGGAGGUUCAAGAGAAAGAGCAUAGUAGAAACUAUUAAGCUCAAGGAUGGGAUAGAUAGCCGAAUUAUGGGAUUGAAAUGUUUGGAAAUCGGCUAUUGAAACGUCCUUUCCUCGUCUGGGAGAUGAUUCCUUCUCUAUCUCUAGGAUUUUUCUAUGAAGACUAGUACAAGAAGGAUGUCCACGAAUGAAGACAUACCUUCCUUUACUAAUAGAUAAAGAAAGAAGGACUCUACCAAAGGUUAUAUGAUUAAGACCAAUGUGAAAAUAUCUAGGAAAAACAUGGUCUUGUAGGGCUAGGUCUAAACCAGAAUUUAUAGAAAGAUUAACAAAUUCCCUAGGUGUAGCUCAAAGUGCAUUAUCUUCUUGAUUAAAAGAUAGGACCUUAGCUAUAGAAAAGGGUUGGUUUUGACCUAUUGCAAUCAACUCCGGAUACAGAUCAUAAUUAGGGGCAGGACGUGUUGACUCCCAUGGUCUAUGGCUGGUCUCCGAAGGUGCAAAGAAUUUAAUAAUAGGUAUGGAAUUUGAGUUAUCCAUAAAGAUAAAAAUAAAAAGAUAAAAGAAUAAAAGUAUAAAAGUAUAAUACAAGAUAAUAGCAAGACUCAAAGUUAUCUCAGCAAACCGUCUUUCUCCCCGGCAACGGCGCCAGAAAUGCUUGUUGAUAUUUGGUAACGCAAUUAGAAAAUGAUCCGCAAGCGCACGGAUAUCGGUGAGCAUUUCACCCGGGAGGUUUUCCAGAGUAUCGUAUUUAUAUUUUUACCACUGGGAGAAAGGGUGCAUCUGACUAACCAAAUCUAUUGCUACUACCCCUUUAGGCUACAAAGAAUGUCUCUCGAUGUGAGUGAUGUAUAGAGAAGACUGCAACCGUAGUCUCGUUCUAACCUUGGUAAGGAUGAUCUACUGUUCUAUUGGGGAGGCUCACGGAAUCUAGACAACACAAAGGAUGUUUGACCCGCACCUUUAACCCUACCCGUCCUGCUAACGAGAUGUGAUCUACAAAGGUAACUCGGAAAUGUCACGUUCCUCGCUACUACCACGGUCCAGCUAGUCAGGGGAUAUCUAUGAGUACCCUAGCCUAAACACCACGUUUACGCUAACAAGUGAUUACUCUAAUACUCAACCGGAAGAGGAUUAAAGUAAACUCAUAAACCAAAGAACAAUAAAACAAGAACUUACUAGUAUUAGAAGUCGAAUUACUGAAGAAUCUUAGAAGCAAGCCUCGGGUUAGGAGACUUGAUCCUGUAGGUACAACUCGGAGUAGACACCGACAUGCCGGCCUUCUUCCGAUCCACACCUCCACUCUAUCUCUCUCAAUCUAGUAGAAACUAGAAGAUCUAUUUCUACCUUACAUUGGUUGCUAAGCCUAAAAAGAAAUAUUAUUUAGAGAAGAGGUUUUCCUUCGAGGGCACCCCUCAAUCUCUAUGAUAAUUUCUUGUCUUCUCCAGGGCCAGGGGGGCCUUGCUUAUAUAGUCCUCCCCUUCUAUGCGUUUUUGGGUCGAUAGGUGAGGUGGUACUAUGUUUUCCUUGAUCCAAUAGGUCGGUGGAACAUCCCGAGCGAAAGAGUCCUGAUUUGGCUCCAACAGGGGGGCGGGCGCCCAGGCUACCAGGGCGGGCGCCCUGGGCCUGGCCCAGUUUCGCCUCCGCUUCGGUCUCGUGGCUUCUGGAGUCUUCUAGAUGGUAGAAAAUUGCGCGGUGGGUUGAUAUCUCUAUGUAAUCCCGACAUGUGGGCCUUUCUUCCUUAUUUCCUGAUAACCCCCUGCAGAAAUAGACAAACACCAAAACUCGUGGAAUUCUGUCAGAUAAAACCCUAAGUCUAGAUGUUGAUUUCAUUUGGAUCCUUUUCUUUGUUUAUUUGAUAAUUAAAUUUGAUACUUAAGGACCGUCAACAGCAACCAUCUUUUCCUCACUAGCCUGCAUGUCUGGAUCCAUGGCGGAGAGGGAUUGGAGCAGCGACAUUGUCUCGAUCUGAUGUGGUUUUCUCUUAAUGAAUGUACUAUAACUACUACAGAAAACAUUUUUACAAGCGGUGCUAGAAGCAUCUUCGCACGCGGCCAAGUUCACCGCCUGUACUAGGGGUCGGUACAAAAUGGACCACAGUAUAGGCGGGGUAGUGUGAGCCGCCUGUCAAAAUUAGGUUUUCAUAGGCGGCUCACCUAGUCAGCCGCCUCUGAAAACCAAAUUUUCACAAGCGACUCACACUCCGCCGCAUGUGUAAAUAAUAUUUUAUAUAUAUUUCAAUUUUCCCACACCACACAGUGCUAAACAUCAUACACACACACACACACACACACAUAUAUAUAUAUAUAUAUAUAUAUAUAUAUAUAUAUAUAUAUAUAUAUAUAUAUAUAUAUAUAUAUAUAUAUAUAUAUAUAUACAUGAGCCAUAAAAUUACAUCAUACAUACACCACAUAUAUAUAUUAUAGAAUUGUAAACAUGAAAUCAAACAUCAACCAUAAAAUUACAUAUAUACACGUCAAUGCUUGUUAUCCGCACAACCAUACAGUGUUUACAUGUCAUUUCACUUCAGAUUUAGACCUAUUGUGUCUGUCAGCGCUCUAAAUUUAUCACUUGCUAAAUCACCCUCAUGAUCAAAAUAUGCACCAUGACUUGAAAUUAUUUCUCUCAUAAUAAAACCGCACAAGUCUGCUACUAUAUUUUCCAGAGUCUUUAGUGUAAAGGGCACGUCCUUUCCUUGCUUUUGCGGCUGGAAACAAAGUUUAAAAGCAUCAUUAUUACAUGUCCAAUAUAUACAUUUGCAACUUUAAUAAGAAAACUUCAUACAUAGAUAUUAUUUACCAUAUGUUGACGGUCCUUAAGUAUCAAAUUUAAUUAUCAAAUAAACAAAGAAAAGGAUCCAAAUGAAAUAAACAUCUAGACUUAGGGUUUUAUCUGACAGAAUUCCACGAGUUUUGGUGUUUGUCUAUUUCUGCAGGGGGUUAUCAGGAAAUAAGGAAGAAAGGCCCACAUUCAGGAUUACAUAGAGAUAUCAACGCACCGCGCAAUUUUCUACCAUCUAGAAGACUCCAGAAGCCACGAGACCAAAGCAGAGGCGAAACAGGGCCAGGACCUGGGCGCCCGCCCACCUGUCGAGCCCAAUCAGGACUCUUUCUCUCAGGAGAUCUCCACCGACCUAUUGGAUCCAGAAUAACAUAGUACCACCUCGCCUAUCGACCCAAAAACGCAUAGAAGGUGAGGACUAUAUAAGGAGACCCCCCUGGCCCCUAGAGAAGACAUGAAGAAAUUAUCAUAGAGAUUGAGGGGUGCCCUCGAAGGAAAACCUCUUCUCUAAUUAAUAUUUCUUUUUAGGCUUAGCAACCAAUGUAAAGUAGAAAUAGAUCUUCUAGUUUCUACUAGAUUGAGAGAGAUAGAGUGGAGGUGUAGAUUGGAGGAAGCCCGGCCUGUCGGUGUCUACUCCAAGCUUGUACCUGCGGGAUCAAGUUCUCCUAACCCGAAGCUUGCUCCUAGGAUUCUUCAGUAUUUCGACUUCUAAAUUCUAGUAAGUUCUUGUUUUAUUGUUCUUAUGGUUUAUGAGUUUACUUUAAUCUCUUCGCGUAGAGUUUAGAGUAAUCAUUGCUGGCGUAAACGUGGUGUUUAGGCUGGGGUACUCAUAGAUAUUCCCUGACUAGCUGGACCGUGGUAGUAGUGAGGAACGUGACAAUUCCGAGUUACCUUUGCAGAUCACAUCUCGUUAGCAGGAAGGAUAGGGUUUAUAGGUGCGGGUUGAACAUCCUUUGUGGUGUCUAGAUUCCGUUAGCCUCCCCAUUAGAACAGUAGAUCAUCCUUACCAAGGUUAGAAGGAGACUACGGUUGCAGUCUUCUCUAUUUAUCACUCACAUCGAAAGACAUUCUUUGUAGCCUAAAGGGAUAGUAGCAAUAGAUUUGGUUAGUCAGAUGCACCCUUUCUCCCAGUGGUAAAAAUAUAAAUACGAUAACUCUGGAUAACCUCCCGAGUGAAAUGCUCACCGAUAUCCGUGCGCUUGCGGAUCGUUUCCUUAUUGUGUUACCAAAUAUCAACAAGCAUUUCUGGCGCCGUUGCCGGGGAGAAAGAUGGUUUGCUGAGAUAAUUUUGAGUCUUGCUAUUAUCUUGUAUUAUACUUUUAUACUUUUAUUCUUUUAUCUUUUUAUUUUUUUGGAUAACUCAAAUUCCAUACCUAUUAUUAAAUUCUUUGCACCUUCGGAGACCAGCCAUAGACCAUGGGAGUCAACACGUCCUGCCCCUAAUUAUGAUCUGUGUCCGGAGUUGAUUGCAAUAGGUCAAAACCAACCCUUUUCUAUAGCUGAGGUCCUAUCUUUUAAUCAAAAAGAUAAUGCACUUUUAGCUACACCUAGGGAAUCUGUUAAUCUUUCUAUAAAUUCUGGUUUAGACCUAGCCCUGCAAGACCAUGUUUUUCCUAGAUAUUUUCACAUUGGUCUUAAUCAUAUAACCUUUGGUAGAGUCCUUCUUUCUUUAUCAGUUAGUAACGGAAGGUAUGUCUUCAUUCGUGGACAUCCUUCUUGUACUAGUCUUCAUAGAAAAAUCAUAGAGAUAGAGAAGGAAUCAUCUCCCAUACGAGGAAAGGAAGUUUCAAUAGCCGUUUUCCAAACAUUUCAAUCCCAUAAUUCGGCUAUCCAACCCAUCCUUGAGCUUAAUAAUUUCUACUAUGCUUUUUCUCUUGAACCUCCCGAUAAUCCUAUCAAUCUCUCUAGACAUUCCAUGCAUAAGAAGGAGGACCGAGAAGAGCAACAUCAAUGGCUAGAGGGCAUUAAAAAUCCAUGUGCUAUCGCCAUUGAAUGGAUAGAUAAAACAAACUUGAGAGACAAUCCUAGAGGAAUUUUAAGCAUUCAUGAAGAAUCAUCCUUGGAGUUUAAGAAUGAGAGAAACAACAGUGAGAAUGGAAGUUAUUUCAUAAAUACCUCACCCAGUCCUUGCUCAUAUAAAACAUCUCUCCAAUCAAUUUGCCUCUCCAUCCUUACCACAUUUGAGAUCUCCAACCCCCUCUUCCUCUUCAUUUAUAAAAACUUUAAAAGGGCGGUUGUCGAUGCAUAUGUCUAUAAUAAAUAUUGCAGAUCUCGUUGAGUUGAUCUUGAUAUAGGUAGGUGUUGGAGGGGAAACCACUUCACCAACAUAACUUGAUGGUUUCCCAAGGACAAGCUUAGUGUCCUAAAACAAGCACUUAUCAGAUCAUAACAUGAACUUCUAAUUAUUUGCAACAUUGCCUUGAGCAUAUAAAGAUAAUUGUAGAAAUAUUCCUUCGGGUAUUCUUGUCACUAACCUUUCCAGGAUUGGAGCAAGAAGAUCGGAUGAAUGACAAGCACAGUGUAUGUCCAACCAACCAUCACACAACAUUGAAUUAAAUUCAUCCAAACUUGAAUUCAAGCUUGGGGAAGUACUUUACAUAAAAACAUCUUUUGCCAUGUUGCUACGUUGGUUGUCCUUACCUUUGAGACAUGCACAAUUUGUUAAAUACUAAUUACACUACUUCAUCUCCACUUAAGUAGAUCUCUAUAAAUGCUCUCAUGCUACCUUUAUUUGCUUUAGUAUAUGUCUAGGUUUGGAAUAGUUUCAUUUAUCUCUUAAUUAAGCAUGGUUCUUAGUUUAGGAAUGAUGAUCUUACUUCCAAGGGAUUUUAAAUUAAGCAUGGUGCUUAGGUUAAAAUGCCCUUCUAAAUUAAAUUAGACAUGGUGUCUAGGUUGAUUUUUAAGCCGAUAGUAUGCUAUAGUAGAUAUGGGAUAUUUUGUUGGACUAACCCCUGCAGGAAAACUUUCAAUAUCAACCUGGGAAGUCCUGAGAUAAACUCGCAUUGGAGAUGAAGAAAGUGACACAUGAAGUUUAACAAUUUGCACAAGAAAGACAUGGCUCAUAAGAGAUGAUUCAUGGAGGGUGCCACAAACACGAUGCACAACCGCUAAGAAAGGAAAGCUUCCACAAGGUGAUACUGUACCGUCACUCUUCAAGUAUAACACCUUAAGGUACUUGACUAUCGCUUUUAUAAGCUUCUCCUUGGUUCUAGCAUUCACAUAAAUAAAGAGACAAACAUGUAUGAUUUAUAUCUCCAGAUUAACCAACUCAAUUAAUUCAACAUGUUUAGUCCUUUAAUCUUUGUUCUUAGAACUACCUUCGUGAUCCCACGCUCCUAAACAUAUAAGCUAAUAUGUUGCACAUUCAAUCUUUGGAAGAUAUAAACAAAACAUAAAUAUAGAUAGAUUAUCUUUCCAUUAGGUUGAGCCAUCUGAUCUGACAAAUGUUUCAAAUACUACACUCAUGAUCUUAUUAUCCAUCAACUUUGUCUUGCUCACUAUGAUUAAGGUUAGAGAAGAACAAAUACACUUUUGGUUCUGUUAGUGUUUUCCACCAACAGAGCCCAUGCACUUGAUCUCUGCCUUGUCUUUAUGAACAGGUACACUUCAAGCAAAACAUGGAGGAGUUUUACAACUCCCAGACUCCACCAAGUGAAGGACCUGGAUCUAUGAGCACAAACACACUGAGCAGGAUAUUGCCAACACCAUACUUCGAACUGCUGGGCAAAGAAGAACAUGGGUGACACCGUAUCAAGAGGUGCAGACGUCAAGGUCCACACCUAAUCAAAUGAUGCACCUAAAGGAUGAAGAUGGUGGAAAGUCUUGUCCAGAAGACUUAAAACAUUGGAUCCUUGUCGGAAGAGGUCAACAUCAUCGACUCAAGUCACCUUUCUUGAUCAAGAAGGACGAUCCUGGUGUUCCAAGCAUCGAGUGCGCAAUCAAUGGAUUCUCUUUUCAGAAGACACUCUACGACACCGGAUCUGACGACAACAUAAUGGCCGCAGUCACUUAUCAGCUCCUGCAUGGAACCAUGCCCCUACAACCAAUAUAUUCAGCUCCAGAUGAUUUUCAGGUCAUUGACAUGGGAGAAGACGAAUAUGAUCCACCCACCAUCCUUGGAAGACCGUUCCUCAACACUAUCAAAGCAAUCAUCUACAUUGGAACCGGAGAAGUCCACAUGUACUUCCCCUCUGAGAAGGUACGCAACUAUUUUACUGACCAUAACUAUAUAGUUGAAGACUCUAAGCAGGUCAGGACAAGAAGACGACGCAACCGCAACUAGAGGAGGCAAAUCAUCAAGAACGGAUGGGUAGACUACGAAGGAAAAGUGAUAAGGACUGAAGACAUACAGCUUGAACAGAACUGUCCUGAGGAGACCGAAGCACCAAGUUAGGUGUGGAAAAUGAAGAUAACUAUACACAAAGAGAGGCGCCGCCGGAAUCACCGACUACGCCACCUAGUGAAUCCCAGGACGACUGAGAAAACAGAGAGUCCCGUUCGGAGGACAUAAAAAUACCGAACGCCUUGCCAAGAGGUAAACUUGGUAGUUACCCUUUCCUUUCAAUUAUUCAAUUAUAAUUUGCUUAGUUAAUCAAGUUCAUGCUAUCUUGAAAAGAAAAUAAAAAUGUUAAAUAGUAAGCCCCAUGUGAGUAUGCUCAUAGCAUAAAACCCAUAAGUACAUUCACUGUGGUGGCAUAAAAAUAAAAUAAAUAAGUUUUCAUCUUACAAUAAAAAUAUAUAAAAAUAAUAAUAAUAAUAAUAAUAAGUGUAUGAUCCUGCUAAAUAAAUAAGGAAGUUCAACAUGACGAAGGCUAGAUAUUUAUGCUAACACUUAAUUAGUUCCACAAGCUUUGUUGUCUAUUUGAGCUCCACAGAAUUUAAGAAUCAAGAAGAUUAGCAGACGGAGGACAUUCUAAUCGCUGUCAGAAUGCUGCUGACUUUCAAAUACACCUCUGCCACCUGCUAGCUACAUCAAGAGAAAUUACGUCAAAAUUCAGCUUGGGGGAAAGCACCCCCAUUAUUCUCGCUAAGUAUUUCUACCUAUCUUUAUACUUAUAUUAUGUUAGAAUAUUAAAAUACAUAAACUAUGAAAAAACAAAAUAAAAAUUUUGUGCUUAUAUAUAUAUCAUUUGCUUAGUAUGUUUAAUAAAUAAAUAAAGUGGCUAUGCUAAUCUGAAUCUUAAUAAUAAAACUCUAGCACGGAUAUGAUGAAUAGUUGCUCUGCAGAAUUUGCAAUUUUCAAGUUCCCUCUCAAGUUUAGACAUAACUGUUAUAAUUUAAAGCUUGCUCUAAAUCUAAACUUGUGGGAUGAAAACUUGAUCUGAAAUCUAAGUUGUUAACGGAUAUGAUAUGGGAAGGUUGAGCUGCUGUUUAUCUGUUCCUAGACAUGCUAGAAUUCUGGAGAAUUUUAUCUUUGAAAAAUCUUUAAAAUAUUGCAUGAUGAGUUCCUGUAUGAUGAGAGUUUAAAUUCCUACCACAGCCAUAUAUAGAUGCUUGCUAGACUUUGAGCCACACAUUUACUAUUUACUGCUUAUGAGCAUUGAGUGUGGUCAAGCUGUGUAGACCCUUAGGAACUUGUCAUGUGGUUAAAUCAAGAUUCACUUGCACGUUCACUCAUAUACGCUACUUCUACUCCGGAAGUACCAUCCACAUAUAUAUCCAUCUAUUUCCAUCUCCAGAAUCACCCAAAAAUAUUCUACUCCUAAUCCGGGAGAGAAUAGUCAAAAACAUUUUCCUAUCCCUGUUAUUCCCUGUGAAAUAAAUGCUGCAAAUAUUUUGGUUACUACCACUUGCUAUAUUAUUUAAGGAGAUGAGUGCUCUAAAAAAAGAAGAAGAAAAAAAAAUACGAGAAAAUAAAAAGGGGCAAGUGCCCGGAACCUCGAAAGAAAAGAAAAAGUGAGACGAGAGGUAAAAAUGGACAAGUGUCCGACAGUAGAAUUAGGGGUACAAGAUACCCACCUGAGAGGAAAGAAAAAGAAAAUAUAGAGCAUCUCAUUCUCCCCAAAAAGCUUCAAAGUGCAAGAAAGGUAUGUAUCCCCUCAAAAGAGCAAAAUUAGAAUUAGACUUGCACCAUCAUUAUCACCAUCAUCACCAUACACCAUUCAUUCGCCACACAUGCACAUCUUGAUUUGACUUAUUGACUUGUUUCUCUGGAUCCAUGGUUUGACUAUGCAAUAAAUGUCUUGUAAGUAUGUAUUAGCUGUCUCCCACCUAUGAGCUCCAGAUAUCAGAACCUUAUUAGAGUAGGGUGAGAGAGAAGGCAAUAUCACUAUGCAUCAUACCAAAAAUACCACAUACUUUGAGAGAAGGCAUAUACCAUUACUGCCUUGGUAAGGAUCCAGAAAUACCACAAAAGAGAGAUCUGAGAGAGUCAUACAAGGAAACUCUGAGUUUUAUUUGAAAAUCUGCAAAAACUCCAGAGCUAUAGUUGAUCAAAGAACAAGAUACAUGGUGUUUGACUGACCGUUCUAUCUUUUAACUGCUCAAGACACAAGUGACGGUUACAAGCCCCAUGGUAAAAGGUAAAAUGAGUAAGUUUUAAGUCUUAACAGUUUAUUCUAACUCAGAGAUGAGAUCUUGCUUGAAUGUGUGUGUACUUUUAAGAAAUGAAACCACUGCAGAAACUUUCGAGUUCAUCCUUGCUCAGGGACGAGUAAGAGGUAAGCUUGGGGGAGUUUGUUGACGGUCCUUAAGUAUCAAAUUUAAUUAUCAAAUAAACAAAGAAAAGGAUCCAAAUGAAAUCAACAUCUAGACUUAGGGUUUUAUCUGACAGAAUUCCACGAGUUUUGGUGUUUGUCUAUUUCUGCAGGGGGUUAUCAGGAAAUAAGGAAGAAAGGCCCACAUGUCAGGAUUACAUAGAGAUAUCAACGCACCGCGUAAUUUUCUACCAUCUAGAAGACUCGAGAAGCCACGAGACCGAAGCGGAGGCGAAACGGGGCCAGGACCUGGGCGCCCGCCCAGUUUCCUUGGGCGCCCGCCCACCUGUCGAGCCCAAUCAGGACUCUUUCUCUCGGGAGAUCUCCACCGACCUAUUGGAUCCAGAAUAACAUAGUACCACCUCGCCUAUCGACCCAAAAACACAUAGAAGGGGAGGACUAUAUAACAUGAAGAAAUUAUCAUAGAGAUUGAGGGGUGCCCUCGAAGGAAAACCUCUUCUCUAAUUAAUAUUUCUUUUUAGGCUUAGCAACCAAUGUAAAGUAGAAAUAGAUCUUCUAGUUUCUACUAGAUUGAGAGAGAUAGAGUGGAGGUGUAGAUUGGAGGAAGCCCGGCCUGUCGGUGUCUACUCCAAGCUUGUACCUGCGGGAUCAAGUUCUCCUAACCCGAAGCUUGCUCCUAGGAUUCUUCAGUAUUUCGACUUCUAAAUUCUAGUAAGUUCUUGUUUUAUUGUUCUUAUGGUUUAUGAGUUUACUUUAAUCUCUUCGCGUAGAGUUUAGAGUAAUCAUUGCUGGCGUAAACGUGGUGUUUAGGCUGGGGUACUCAUAGAUAUUCCCUGACUAGCUGGACCGUGGUAGUAGUGAGGAACGUGACAAUUCCGAGUUACCUUUGCAGAUCACAUCUCGUUAGCAGGAAGGAUAGGGUUUAUAGGUGCAGGUUGAACAUCCUUUGUGGUGUCUAGAUUCCGUUAGCCUCCCCAUUAGAACAGUAGAUCAUCCUUACCAAGGUUAGAAGGAGACUACGGUUGCAGUCUUCUCUAUUUAUCACUCACAUCGAAAGACAUUCUUUGUAGCCUAAAGGGAUAGUAGCAAUAGAUUUGGUUAGUCAGAUGCACCCUUUCUCCCAGUGGUAAAAAUAUAAAUACGAUAACUCUGGAUAACCUCCCGGGUGAAAUGCUCACCGAUAUCCGUGCGCUUGCGGAUCGUUUCCUUAUUGCGUUACCAAAUAUCAACACCAUAUUUUUGUCCCUGACGUAUCGUCCACGCUGCCUUAUAAACUUAUAGAUAUAGUACCCACAAUAGACCGAUCCUGGUGGUUGCUUGUGGCACUAUAUAAUGAGCAACAGAUUAUUCUAAAAUUGUCAUGCCUUAUGUAUAAUUUAUAUGAUGAAAUAUGUUUGGACAACUUACCGCAUUGUGGUGUUGUAUCGUCAAUGGCACCCUAGGAUCUGAGCGUGCGGCAUCGACCGGUCCUUUUUGUUUCUUAUAAAAUCACCAUGCCCUGUAGAUAUCGAAUAUAAAUCACUAAAGUUAUUUUGAAACUCUAAUUCAUAUAAGUACGCAUGUGGUUGCAUGUUGGCUCACCUUUCUAAUUGAACUAAGAAUAGUUUAUACUUCUCUGGAGGAACAUGUAAAGAGUCUAUGACAAGCGCCCUCCCUUCGAAGGGAGAAAUAUAAAAACAAUUCAAUGGUCACUGCAUGAAUAAAUGAGUGAGUGACACAUGCACUAUUGCACGUUCAGGCAUUAGCACCGGUCGGGAAGGGCCUGUUGUCCCGGUUUCCAAGCCGGUGCUGCCCUUCCGGGACUAAAGGCCCACCCUUUAGUCCCGGUUCAGGGAUCUGGGGCUAUAGCCACCCCUUUAACACCGGUUGGUUAUACCAACCGGUUUUAAAGGGUCCUGCCUGGGCUGCCACAUUGCAGGACCGGGGAAUUUUUUUUGUUUCAUUUCUUCGGUUCUGUUUAUUGUUUAUAUAUAAUAAUAAUAGAUUUGUCAAUUUGGGGACGAGUCAGUGUCAGAAGGUAGAUGGUUGUUUAGGUGUGGAGUUCAAUCGUUUUUUGGUUGCCAAUUUGUUGUUAUUUCUGCAUGAGCUUUGAUCUGGAUCUUCUAAAUUUGUGAACUAAUUUGGGUUCAAACUUUGGUGUUGGUGCAAAAGCUAGUCUGCAAACACAAAGGGCUAAUACCCGAUUCAAACGUUAAGGCGUGCCAGCCGAUUUGACCUUACUAUCGGCAAAGGUGGUAACUCGAAUACUUUAGUCCUGACAACAGCGAUGCGCCCGGAUACUUUAGUCCUGACAACAGCGAUCCGUAUACAAAACGAUUUAAAUAAUUAGGGAAAUAAUAAAGCUAUCCCCCGUGACAAGCUGAAACUCUUCCACAAACCGAUCGGCAGCUUCCGGACUCUCCCUUCGUAUCAUCGGCAGAUUCCCUUGCCAUAGUCAUCGGCAGACUUCCUCAUCAUAUCCAUCGGCACAGACACAUCACCACCUAUAGACUUAGUCACGUUCAACCUCUCCUUCAUCGGCAACCAUACUCAUCGGCAACUCAUCCUGUAGACAAAACACCGCCGUCUCAUCCUGCCGGCCUGGACACGUGCCCAAAAACGGUGUCAACACAUGCCCCCCAAUUUCGGAGUAUGAAAUCAUUAAUGCUCCGAAAUUCUCUGCAGUAAUGAUGCCUUUUCCCGCAAUUAAUGCUCCUAAUCUGGUAACCGACAACCUCAAUCUGAACAACUCUGAUCCUAUUCUUCUGCAGAUUCCUUGAAAUCCUCAACUUCCUAAACGGGCAUUUCCUUCUCAGCCGUACAUCGGCAAUAUUACCGUUACGAAGAUCUGCCGAUGGACUGAUCAGGACGUUCGUACAAACGGCUAUCUUCACUUUAUUCGCCCAUCGGCAAUAUGACCGUUACAGGACGCUACCGAUGGACCGACCAGGAGAUCCCGCACAGUAAAAUAUCUCCGGAUAAUGACCGCUUCCCGUCAAAUCACCUGCACAAUCCCUUGAUUAUCGUGCGAACAGUUACCAUAUCUACCUGAGCACCCUCGGAUUUCUCGGAUGCGGCAAAGAGAUAAGUCAGAUUUGCCCUUGCCCGUUUUAUCCUAUAAAUAGUUCCUUCUCGGGUACUCCUUCUCCAUCACAUCGUUCCACCAUCCCAACUUUACUUUCCCAGCGGCGGCGCCAUUCAAGAUCUCCAAGACCUCCGACCAAAACUCUUCCUCACCAACCCCGGAGCCCUCAGACGUUCUCCUCGUGGCAAGAUGGCCAUUAGCUUCAUCGUCCCUGAGGUCAGCUCUUCAUCCUAUCUCCUGUACUUUUCCUCGCAUCCCUGUUCAUUCGCAAUUCAUUUUACUGAACAUCUUCCUUUUCUUUCUUCUUUUUUUUGUGUUCUUUUUUUUAUCUCCAAAACCACUAGGAAUUGCCUAACAAAAUUGUCAUCCCCACCGAUCAACCACACCUUCAAUGCCUCGGCCCGCUAGGGGAUCCAGAUCCAACCGAUCUCAUUAACGCAGAAACCAACAGGAUCCCUUUUAGAACUGAAAACUUUUCUUUAGAUCUGUGAAAAGACACCUUCCGUUCCUGGCCCAGCCCUACUGUGGGGUGGAAAGACUGGUUCUUGAGGGUCAGCAACUCCAAUGAAGUCCAAUGGGGUGAGAGAAAGCUAGAUCAAUGCAUUAGGUUGUCCAUUGCCGAUAUGCAGAGGAAUGAGUCACUGUUGAUAGCUGCAUCUUACUUUUGGUCAGACACCCUCAAUGCUUUUAUCUUCGGCCACGGCCCUGCUUCCCCUACUCUUGUCGAUGUAGCCAUGCUCACUGGUCUAGAUGUAUCUUCCGUCGAUAGCACCCACUUUUUUGACACCGCUCCUAGUGCCAAAGUGGAAACUCGCUCCAUCGGCGGCUGGUCGGGGUACAUUCAGAAGUACCGUGGGAUGGGGCCCGUCAGCAUAAAGGAACAAACCACCUUUCUGAACAUGUGGCUGGACAAAUUCGUAUUCUGUGGUCGAUCGGCAGGACCGACUUUCGUCUAUCUAUCGGCAGCAGAGAGACUGGCUAACGGUGGCCGAUUCCCUCUCGACCGAUACUUGCUUGGCGCUGCCUACCACCUUCUUCAUCAGGUAGCCAAGAAACUCCUGCUCGGCCAGUCCACUAGCAACUUGGGAGGCCCCUGGUGGUUUAUCAACAUGUGGCUUAAUCUGCAUCUGCACAAGCGCCUCAACCUUAACUUGUUCACACAGCGUUUCCCAAGAGAUAUAGCUGAAAAUCAUGUGUUGGGUGAAGAGGAAUCGGCAACACGCGCUCCUUUAAACUUCGGCGAAGCCGUCAUAGUUCUGCCUGGUUCAGGAGGUAAUCCAGAUCAGGUUAGCCGAUUCUUCCAGACUCUGUACGAGGGCCUGGCCAGAGAUGAACGACCAUGGUUGGCCUAUGAUGACCCAGACAGUAUGCUCCCCUUGGUUUUCAACCCAUUUGAUGAAGCUCUUGACAGGGAUAAUGAAGUGAUGAUGGCAAUUGUGACUCCUAGAGCCAUACCAGUGAAUUUCUUUGGUAGCACAAAAACCUCCCCCCAGACUUAUGAAUUUUACAACCCAUCGGCAUUAGCUCGUCAAUUAGCUUUCGGCCAGUUGCCGAUUGCACUCUGUUAUGCCGAUGUGAUAAAACCCAGGGAGCCCAUCACCAACUUUCUUGAGUGGAUUCGAGUAGCCCAACUACCACCGAAUGCCGAUACAGAUGCAGAUUUGUCAGAGUGGGUUCCAGCCGCCUUCAUUACCCAGGCGUACAAGCUAUGGUGGGCAGAAUGGAAGGAGCAUCUAUUCUGCAAGUCAGCCCUUUCAUACCGCGGCAUGAUCGACCCCGAGUACAAAGUACCCGAUGAUGCUGUAAGUAUUUCAAACCGAUGUUCCAUUUUUUCAAUCUUAUUUCCAUCGGUAACUCACCUUUGUAUCCUUUUUGUAGGUUGACAACACCCCCUCAUCGGUUAGCAUAAGUGGUAAGCCAAUUGACCUGUUUCCACCAGGCCCAAUCUCUUCAAUCGGCCACAAUGCUCCCACUCUGGCUACCAUUGUGCAUCGAGGUGUGCGCCUUAAGAAAGUUACCACCAGGAGAACUCAGACACCACCAACGGUAGCUGCUUCCACUCUGGCACAGGCUUUCAAGGCAAUUUGUCGAACCUUUUUUAUUUAUACGGAUUACCUUUAUAUCGGCUACAUUUGUACUCAUAAACUCCUUUUUGUUGCUGCAGCAAACCAGUGCAUCGGCAAAAGCCAAACGCCAAGGUGCCGAUGUCCCCCAGUCCAGCCAGCCAAAGAGGAAGGGCGCCAAGGGUACCAGGGCUAGAACAAAGCGCCAGAAAGUGGCAACUCCUCCUCCUCCUCCUCCUCCGGCAUCUCCUAUUCCGAUGGAAUCUUCUCCUUCCCCUCCAGAUGUAGAGAUCCAGCAAGCAUCAUCUCCCCCUUAUCCGCAGGAAGCACCAAAAGCAGACGAACCCCAGCAAGAAGAACCCCAAGCAGAAGGUACAUCGACUGACGCAGGUGAGCAAACAACUGGCCUGGCAGGUUCAAUCACGUCAUCGGCAGUUCCCCCAAUUCAGACAAGCAUCGUUCUUCCUCAGGGUAACAUAUUUUAUAAUAUUGCCACCGACGAACUUAUUCUCAUUCAGCCUCAUAACUCUUUCUGUCUUCCUUUCAAACGAUGUUUUCCCAUCGGCAACCCUGGCCGAUCAACCUGUGGCCCCACCGGCAUCUUCCAGUCAAAGGCAAGAAAUAGCCUUGAAGCAAGUAAGUCGCCCAGCCUUCAUCAGUAUUAUUUGCCGAUUCUCCGAGCAUGAACUAACUUACUUUGUUUUCCUUCCCAGGAACAAGAUUCUCCCGACAGCCUAUUCUCCUUCGCCAUCGACAUCUCUGAAGAAGAAGGUGAGGAAGCAAGCUCUUCCCAGACAGUUGGCAUCACAUCGGCAGAGAUCAGGGCCAAGCUGGGAGAACUGUCGGCCCUCCUUCAUCAGGACACGGCACAACUGGUCGAUGACUCCGACCUAGCCAAGGUUCUGUUCAGGACUCUCAGAGGCCAGAUCCCAGCCGAUGUUGAAGAAAUCCUCUUCCAAGCCGCACAUUUGGAGAGUCGUCAGCUGCAGUACCAGAGGGCUUCUCGGCGUCUUGCCGAUAGAGCUGCUCAGACUCAGCUCUCUAAAGAGAUGAGGAAAGAGAAGCUCCUGACCGAUGAGAAGCACAAGAACAUUGGCAUCUUGAGAUCUUCAGGAGACACGCUGAAGCAGAAGAUAUCUGACCUAUCGGCAAAAAGGGAAUCUCUGUUGGCAGAACUCAAACAAGUGGAGGACGCCUUGUCCCAAGCCCAACAGGAAGAGAGUCAACUGCCAGAGACCAUCAAGCUUCUUGAGCACGAGCGGAACGUCUACGGUCGCAAGGCACUACAAUUGAAGAAGAAGCUGAAGCCGAUAGAAGGCUCUGCCGAUGACGAUAUCAAGGAGAUAGAAGCAGCCAACCAAAUCCGGCUACGCGCCAUAUCGGCGAUCCAGGCGCUGCUGAACACAUGAAGCUCUCAUCGGCAACACAUCUGUGUUUUCCUGCUCUUUUAGCUUUUAGUCUAGCCGAUAGGACUGUUAUCGGCAUCUUUUGAAACAUUAAGUCCUGCCCCCAAACAUUUAAAUCCAGCCGAUAGGAGUGUUAUCGGCAUUUAAACUUCUAUGCAUCGACCCAUACACUGGGGUAGUACUUCUUUAAAUAUUUGCCAUUUAAUGCUCUGGGAAAUUCAACUCCUUCGAGAGUUUCUAGAAUAUAGGCAUUUCCAGGAGCCGAUCGACUUAUCCGAUAGGGACCUUCCCAAUUAGGAGACCACUUUCCAAACUUUGAACUUUUAGUCCCGAUCGGUAAAAUUAAUUUCCAUACCAAGUCCCCAUCGGCAAACUCCUUAGCCUUUACUUUCUUGUCAUACCAUCUAGCAACUCUCUUCUUAUUUUCUUCUAUACUCAUUAAAGCCUUUAACCGAUGUCCUGCUAGAUCAUCUAACUCAUCGGUCAUCAAAGUGGCAUAAUCAUCGGCAGCCAAUUGAUCUUGAAAAGAUAAUCGCCUAGAUCUAGCCUUAAUCUCCCAAGGCAACACUGCAUCAUGUCCAUACACCAAUUGAUAGGGUGAUACCUUGGUUGAUCCAUGACAAGCCAUCCGAUAGGACCACAACGCUUCAUUCAAUAAUGUAUGCCACCGCUUAGGAUUUUCUUCAAUCUUUCGUUUGAUAAGCUUGAUAAUUCCUUUGUUAGACGCCUCAGCCUGCCCAUUGGCUUGAGCAUAAUAAGGAGAAGAAUUCAACACUUUAAUCCCCAUACCGAUUGCAAAUUCAUCAAACUCCCCUGAUGUAAACAUAGUGCCCUGAUCGGUAGUAAUUGUUUGAGGAAUCCCAAAUCGGUAAAUGAUAUGCUCCUUUACAAAAUCAAUCAUAUUGGCCGAUGUGACUUUCUUCAAAGGAAUAGCUUCGACCCACUUAGUGAAAUAAUCAGUGGCAACUAGAAUAAACUUAUGCCCUUUGCUAGAUGGUGGAUAAACCUGGCCGAUCAGAUCAAUAGCCCAUCCUCGGAACGGCCAAGGCUUUAUGAUAGGAUUCAUAGCCGAUGCAGGUGCCCUUUGAAUAUUACCAAACUUCUGACACCCUUGACACCCUUUGAAAUACUUAAAGCAAUCCUCAAGUAUAGUCGGCCAAUAAUAUCCAUUCCUCCUAAUCAUCCACUUCAUCUUAAAAGCCGACUGAUGUGCUCCACACACCCCUUCAUGAAUUUCUCCCAUCAAACUCCUAGCUUCAUCAUCACCUAAGCAUCGGAGAAGAAUUCCAUCAAUAGUUCGAUAGUAUAAUUCUCCUUCGAGGAGCACAUACUUGGUCGCUUGAAAUCGAACUCGUCUUUCAACUUUCUUAGAUGGAUCUUUCAAAUAAUCAAUAAUUUCUUUCCUCCAAUCAUCGGCAUCGAUUGUCGAUACUGUAUUAAUUAUAGGCUGAUAUCCCGAGGCAUGUUGAGCCAACCGAUUGGCCUCUUCAUUAUGCAAUCGGGGAACAUGCUCUAAACGGAAAUCUUUGAAUUCCUUUAACAGUUGCAUGCUCUUCUCGUGAUAAGUUAUGAGAACUUCACUUCGGCAUUCAUAGCUCCCGGCCAAUUGAUUUAUAACCAACAUAGAAUCCCCGAAGACUUCGACAGCGUCAACACGAACUUCCCUUAACAACUCCAAUCCCUUUAUCAAAGCCUGAUACUCAGCCUGAUUAUUUGUCGAUGUAGCAACAAUCGGCAAGGAAAAUUCAUACUUCCUCCCCUUAGGGGAAACUAAUACUAUGCCGAUUCCUGCCCCCCGGUCACAUGUAGAUCCAUCAAAGAAAAGCGUCCAGGGCACAAUUUCCAAGGCCUCCACUGCACUGCAAUGUUGAGUCACAAAAUCGGCCAUAAUCUGCCCUUUAACUGCCUUAGCCGAUUCAUAACGCAGAUCGAAUUCCGACAGGGCCAAAAUCCAUUUACCGAUCCUGCCACUCAUAAUCGGCAUAGAUAGCAUGUACCGGACCACAUCAUCUUUGCAAACAACAGUGCAUUCGGCCGAUAAAAAGUAGUGCCUUAACUUGAUACACGAAAAAUAUAAGCAUAGGCAUAGUUUCUCAAUGGCCGAAUACCUGGUCUCAGCAUCAAUCAACCUCCUGCUUAAGUAAUAAAUUACACGCUCUUUCCCUUCAAAUUCUUGAAUCAAAGCCGAACCGAUAACCAUCCCAUCGGUAGACAAAUACAAUCUGAAGGGCUUUCCUUGCUGAGGUGGAACUAGAACUGGAGGAUUCACUAGAUACCUCUUGAUUUCAUCUAGAGCCAACUGCUGUUCUUUCCCCCAAAUAAAUUCUUGAUCGGCUUUUAGCUUAAGAAGAGGACUGAAGGCACGAAUUUUAGCAGACAAAUUAGAUAUAAAACUCCUGAUAAAAUUUACCUUGCCGAUCAAGGACUGGAGUUCGGUCUUGUUGGUAGGGGCUACUAUCUUAUUGAUGGCAUCAAUAGAUCUUCGACUAAUUUCAAUCCCCCUUUGAUGCACCAUGAAACCAAGAAACUGCCCUGCCGAUACACCAAAUGCACACUUAUUGGGAUUCAUCUUCAAUCCAUGCUUCCUUGUGCACUCCAAUACAUUUUGUAGAUCGGCAAGAUGCUUUGCGAAGUCCCCGGAUUUGACCACCACAUCAUCAAUAUAAAUUUCUACCAGUUUACCGAUGAACUCAUGAAAUAUAAAAUUCAUGGCCCUUUGAUAAGUAGCACCAGCAUUCUUAAGGCCAAAAGUCAUAACUAUCCAUUCGAACAAUCCAACAUGACCAGGGCAUCUGAACGCAGUCUUUGGAAUAUCUUCUUCAGCCAUGAAUAUUUGAUUGUACCCUGCAUUACCAUCCAUAAAGCUAAUAAUCCGAUGCCCAGCUGCAGCGUCAACCAACAGAUCGGCAACUGACAUUGGGUAUCCAUCCAUCGGCGUAGCUUUGUUAAGGUUCCUGAAAUCAAUGCAGACCCGAAGUUUCCCGUUCUUCUUGUAGACCGGAACAACAUUGGAAAUCCAUUCGGCAUACCGACACUGCCGAAUAAACUUAGCUUCAAUAAGUUUGGUGAUUUCGGCCUUAAUAUCAGGGAGGAUGUUAGGAUUACAUCGGCGAGCUGGCUGUUGAUGUGGCCGAAAUCCAGACUUGAUGGGCAACCGAUGUUCAACAAUUGAUCGGUCCAAACCAGGCAUCUCAGUAUAAUCCCAAGCGAAGCAAUCUUUAUAUUCCUUUAACAAAUUGGUUAAUUGUCGCUUACACUCAGGAUUCAACUUAGCACUAAUAAAAGUUGGUCUAGGCUUAUCACCACUACCGAUAUCUACUUCUACCAAAUCAUCGGCCGAUGUGAAUCCCUGGCCUAACUUUCCAUCAUCGGCGAACCUAUCCAUUAAAAAUCGUCGUCAGAACCGACUGCUUGGAUCGGUGGAAUCUCGUAAUCGGCGACCUUGAGAAAAUCUUUUUCCCAAACUUCUCCUAAAAUACACCUGGUCCUCUCAUAGGUGUCCGCCUCUGCCAACGCAAUGACAUAAGAAGAAUCUCCCAGGACAAUCUCAAUUUUGUCACCUACCCACUGAACCAAACAUUGGUGCAUUGUAGACGGGAUGCAACAAUUAGCAUGAAUCCAAUCUCUCCCCAGUAGCAAGUUGUAAGCACCCUUUCCACUGAUCACGAAGAAAGUUGUCGGCAAGGUUUUGCUGCCGAUGGUCAACUCUACACAUAUUGCCCCUUUGACUAGAGACACGUUCCCUUCAAAGUCUUUGAGCAUCAUAUCGGUCUUGGUUAAAUCUUGAUCUCCUUUUCCAAGCUUCCGAUACACCGCAUAUGGCAUGAUAUUGAUAGCAGCUCCUCCAUCCAUUAAGAUCUUAGUCAUCGGCUGCCCAUCAACCCUUCCUUUGACAAACAGAGCCUUGAGAUGCUGUCUUUCAUCAUCGGCAGGCUUUUCGAAGAUAGCCGUCAUCGGAUCUAGAGCCAACUGAGCUAUUUGAUCGGAAAACUCCACCUCAUCAUCACUGGAUGGCGCAAGGAAUUCCAUCGGCAACAUAAAGACCAUAUUGACAUCUGCCGAUGGACCUUCCCCCUUAGGAUCUGGUUGAUGUCGAUCCUCAGGUUUUCCAGAGCUCUCGCCCUUGCUUAGCCCUUCUUGCCUUUCACGCUGCAAUCUCCUUUUCUGCGUCUUGGUCAACCCUUCCGGACACCACGGAGGAAGCGGCUUCUGCCUUGCUGCUGGGCGUCGACUCUCCCUUGACUCCAUCCGGUGUGUAUUAGCGUCCCUGCAAAAUACGAAUUCGUCGGGAACUCGUGCAUUAGCCAUCUCCUCGAGCUCUUCCUGGUUCCUGGGAAAAUAUGGGACACGAUCACCAAGCCUGUCGUGCACACUGAGUCUGCCCCCCAAACGAUCAUGGACAGAUGCUCUCCCUCUAACCGGCCCAUUGAAGCGCCUAUCAUUAUCACGAUAGUUUCGAUCGGACCUAUCGUACCGAUCAUAAUCGUUGCACUCAGGGCAAUCUCUCACAGUAGGAAGCUUGAUAUUCUCCUCCCAGCAAUGGAUGAAGAACGGACAAUUCCAGUGAUCCCUAUGCCGAUUCCACUCCUGUCGGCGUCUCUCUUCUUCCCGAUGAUAAUCUUCUUGCUGGCGCCGAUAUCGAUCUUCUCGUUGCUGCCAAGUUUCCCGAGGCCUUCUGUGAGUUAUUACAAUCCCAGAUCGGGGAGGCCUUCCUGAGCUGGUUCCUUCCUGGACCAAGCCUCUUCCUCUCGCAUCGGCAGUAGUGACUUGAUGCUGAGGAUCCACCGAUGCACCUCUUUCGGCUGCUUCUGAAGUUAAGACCUUGGCUUUUCCCUUAGCAUCCAACAUGUUCGUUGGGAAAGGAUGUUGGUCAAUCUUCAUCGGCUUCUGGGUCUUAGAGCCGUCAAAUUUGAUCCUCCCAGAUUCUAUAGCCGAUUGCAAUUGCUGUCUGAAAACCUUGCAUUCAUUGGUAUCGUGAGAAGUUGCAUUAUGCCACUUGCAAUAUUUCAUCCUUCUUAACUCCUCAGCCGAUGGGAUCACGUGAUUAGGAGACAGCUUGAUCUGACCUUCCUGAAGUAGAAAGUCAAAUAUCCUAUCGGCCUUGGCGGUGUCAAAAGCGAACUUCUCUGGUUCCUUCCGCCCAAAAGGGCAAGACAUUGGCUUCUUAUUUUUUACCCACUCUGCCAAGCCGAUGACUGGUUCCUCAUCAAAAUCUGAACUUGUUGCUUCAUCGACGAACGACACCUUUUUGUUCCAUGCUCUCUUGGGUUCAAACGGCUUGAUGUCUUGAUCAGAGACUCUCUGCACCAGAUGACUUAAGCUUUCAAACUCGUGAGAUGCAUAUUUGUCCCUGAUGUGUGGCAACAAACCCUAGAAAGCCAAAUCGGCUAGCUGCCGAUCGUCCAGAACUAGACUAUAGCACUUGUUCUUGACUUCCCGUAUCCUCUGUACAAAACCUUCAACCGAUUCAUCAUUACGUUGCCUCAAUUUGACUAAAUCGGUGAUCUUCUUCUCAUGAACCCCAGAAAAGAAGUAUUUGUGGAAUUGUUUUUCCAGAUCGGCCCAAGUAAUCACUGAGUUGGGAGGUAGUGAUAUGAACCAGGUAAAAGCCGAUCCAGACAACGAUGAUGAAAAUAGACGAACCCUUAACUCGUCCCUGUUACCAGCUUCUCCGCAUUGAAUAAUGAACCUAUUGACGUGCUCCAUGGUUGACGUGUCAUCCUGUCCAGAAAACUUAGUAAAGUCCGGAACCUUGUACCGAUGCGGAAGCGGGAUCAAAUCAUAUGCGGGAGGAUACGGUGUCCGAUAAGAGUAAGAUUAACUUUGGGUUUUAUCCCAAAUUGAUCUCUCAUUACUUCAGCGAUCUUAUCGGCCCAGUAUGCAUCGGCAUCUUGCCGAUGCGGUGGUUGUGGAUCCUGCACCUGCUGGUAAGCCUCCACGUGUCUGUUUGGUGCAUGAUCUGCACGGAACAUUGGGUUAAUUAUUAGGCCUCCCACCUGAGGACCACCAAGCUGUUGCCCGCCAAUCUGCUGUCCGCCGACCUGCUGUCCGAAAUUCAUUGGCUGGUUGAGGAUUCCCUGAUUCUGGAAUCCGGGAUAGAUCUGUCCUUGCUGGAACCCUGUAGCCUGGUGACUCUGUUGGGGCGUUUGCGGAAAGACUUGCUGCCCAAGCCAUCCAUUAUUAGCAUUCAUCGGCAUAGGCCCUGCCGAUGACUGGUAAUUGGGUAUCAUCGUUGAAUUGACAUACCCUGAUUGAGCCAUAGACUUCUGUUGCAUCAGCAUCGAGUCUGCCGAUGCGUUGGGUAUCUGGAACAUUGGAGCUUGAGAAUUCCCAGUGUAAGGCCUUGCAGUAGUAGUUGUAGUAGUAUACUAGGGACUCUGAUUCAUCGGCAUAUUGGGAGGUGCCGAUGCCAUAGGGGUCUUGCCUCUCAUAUCAGUCGUCUGCGAUGUACCCGGCGUUAACUCUGGAGGCAUGCCAUAACCCCACUAGUUGGGAGGAGGAGUUAAACCUGUCAUUGCCGAUGCUAACAGAUCUGUGGCAAGUUUAAUCUGCCCAUCUGAAGUCUGUGGAUUAGUUGUCAUCGGCAUAGAUUGUCCGUUGGUUACUCCCAACGUGCUUGGCGGAACAGGAAUCUCCAUACCCGCAGCGGCUGUAGCAGCCGAUGGAGCUGUGACCACUGGUGACUUUGGCUGGUGAUAAGUGGGGCCACAUAAUCUGGUGGCAAUUGUCCCUCCUUGAAAGUUCUUGCCACGGCAUUGAAAACCGUAUUAGACAGUACACCAGCUUGGUUGAUCAAAGCACGGUUGAUAGCGCUGUCAACCAUCUCUUCAAGUUUGCCAGGAUUGGACUCAAAAGUAACCUGCCGAGGUGCCGGCAGUGCAUCCUUUUGAAUCACUUCACAGCUCCUGUUCACGCUGAAAGAUCUCAGGCAUUGCUGCUUGUAAUCCUCCAUGGCUUUAGCAAUAGCUUGCUUCUGCUCAUCCUUGAGAUUGGCUUCCGUCACGGGGAUGACGUUCUCUUGAUCAAACUCAGAAGUCGACAUGUUAAUCUUGAUCUUGGAUCUGUCCCACCGGGCGUGCCAAAAGAUGUGUUGGUGUAAAAGCUAGUCUGCGAACACAAAGGGCUAAUACCCGAUUCAAACGUUAAGGCGUGCCAGCCGAUUUGACCUUACUAUCGGCAAAGGUGGUAACUCGAAUACUUUAGUCCUGACAACAGCGAUGCGCCCGGAUGUCACGGCUAAGAGGUACUCACGCGGAACUUGAGAACACGCCGAGCUUAAGUCGAUGAAUCCCUAAGAACUCGUAGUGAAAAGGAAAAAGUAUGACGAAGUCGUCGAAAAAGUAGAUGCUAGAAUAUGAGUAAAACGUGUGUUUGAUUGAUUGAUAGAUGUCUCAUUACAAGGUCCUAGGGUCUAUAUUUAUACCCUGCUCAAAGAGCUACAACCAGACACGAUUAGAAUUCGAAUUCCAAAUUACACGGAAUCCGUAUACAAAACGAUUUAAAUAAUUAGGGAAAUAAUAAAGCUAUCCCCCGUGACAAGCUGAAACUCUUCCACAAACCGAUCGGCAGCUUCCGGACUCUCCCUUCGUAUCAUCGGCAGAUUCUCUUGCCAUAGUCAUCGGCAGACUUCCUCAUCAUAUCCAUCGGCACAGACACAUCACCACCUAUAGACUUAGUCACGUUCAACCUCUCCUUCAUCGGCAACCAUCCUCAUCGGCAACUCAUUCUGUAGACAAAACACCGCUGUCUCAUCCUGCCGGACUGGACACGUGCCCAAAAACGGUGUCAACAUUUGGCUUUACGGACCCCUGUGGUCCGGGUGUUCAGCUUAUGUUAUUCAUCUCCUGCUGCGUUCAUUAUAAUGUCAAAUGAGUCUGUAACUUCUGUAUGGUCUUGUAACUUAUGUUUCUGAUUGGAAGCAUUCAAGACCUGUAAUUAACAUGGAUGUCUGUGUAGAAGCAUUAUUACAACUUGCAUAAAUGGAAAUAUAAAAUCAGUCAGGUAAAACAUUAGAUUCAUAUAGCUUAGCAUCUCUGGUUCUGGAUCAAAGUAGAAAUGUCAAGUUAUUCUAGACUACUAUGCUUUUUAAUCCUAAUUUGAUAUCUUGUGAUCUUUGCAGUGUUCUUUAUUAAGUUCAACUACAAUAAUUGAAAUGGGUUGACAAGUGUAACACCCGGCCCAGGGCUUAAUAGGAUUAAUAGGAGACUCAUACCAACAAGUUGCAACUUCUUUUCCGAAAGCAGAUAUCUAAAGUACUCUAAAGUUAAGCGUGCUUGGCCUAGAGAAAUUUAGGGAUGGGUGACCGACCGGGAAGUACUUUUUGGGUGUGCACGAGUGAAGACAAAGUGUGCAGAAAAGACUAGUGUUGGUCUGUGGGGACUGACUAUAUCCUAGAAAAGCUGCCAGAUGUAAGCGGGCCUGGCCUCGUGGAGACGGGACGUUACAACAAGGCUUUGAUUAGCGCGUCUGAAAAAAACAAGGUCUCAGUGUAGGAAAUUUGACUGGUUUAGAUUUAGAUUUUGUAUGCAUGCAGUGGAUUGAAGCAACUCAAUAUUUGAUGAGUAGUAGUGCUACAUGACAAAUAAUUUAGUGUUAACUUGGAAAGUGGUGUUAAACCUUCCAAUUUGGUCCCUAUUGAUUGAUCGUUUAGUUGCAUCUUUUCUUGUUGUCACGAGUUUGGUACCCAAUAUUAUUUGUGGUUUCUGGCUAUGUUUGUCUUGAGUUCAGCUUGGUGUGCCUAAUCAACAUUUGUGUCUUGUACUUUAUUUAACUCUUAACUUCAAUAACAAGGUUAAUCUAAUAUUAUGUGAACAAGGCAUUAGUUUAAUCCUAGAACUCAUUUAGGCUAGACAACAAAAUAUAUAAUAUAUUGUGAUAGAUAAGAAUUAGGUUAUGUUUGUAUAAUAUGCUACUUUCAUGUGCUUAUUGUGUCGCGUUGCAUUUGGAGUGCUUCCUUGAAAUGAUUUGUGAUCAUUCUUGGGUAUUUAUUUUGUUGUAAAAUCACAUUCUACUUCAUUGUUGAUUCAAUAAUAAGAUGUUUGGAAGAUUUGCACCUUAGCCAAAUAAAAAUUAUUUAGUUGACUGUAUCAUGUGCAAAGUGCAUGCCACUAGUUUGUAUGUUGUACUGUUGACAACUUGACAUUUGCUCAUCUGAUGUGAUGCUAUGUAUUUGAAGGUGUUAUAAUGUACAAUGAUCUAACAUCACAGUUCAUUCUAAUCUCUAAUGGUAAUUGCGGACAUGAGUUUGAAAGUGGGUGAUAUGUAAGAAUAUUGGUACGUUUGCUCAUCUGAUGUGAUGCUAUAUAUUUGAAGGUGUUAUAAUGUACAAUGAUCUAACAUCACAGUUCAUUCUAAUCUCUAAUGGUAGUUGCGGACAUGAGUUUGAAAGUGGGUGAUAUGUAAGAAUAUUGGUCUAACGUGCUAGCUGAAAGACUCGAUUAGAGUAAUAAAUUUCAUUUGCAGUCUUUAAUGUAUACUGAACUUCAAGGAUCUUUUUUAUAUGAAUUUUGUUUCUUAUGUAUCUUGAAUUACAUUGCCUCACUAAUAAUUUUCUGGUUGUGGUUUGGCUUGCUAGCAGCCGCAUUAAUGGUAAUGGUAUAGAACAAAAAAAUUUAGUUAGCAAAUUUGAUGAUCUGUUUAACUGUAAACUUCCAGUCUGCAAUCUUCAUGUAUUUGUUUAACUCCUACAAGAACUUCUUUAAGUAUAGACUACUCUUUGUUAAAGAAUGCAGUGAAUUGAUAAGAUCUUUUUUCUUCUCUGAUGCGCAACUAAUAGUGUUAAAUUGGGAGGGUAGCUUUGCAGUUUGUGGGGACACAUGCAUUUACAUACGUAAAGACGUCCGUAUAGCUCCAUUUUGAACAGGUAGUUUCAUUUUUUUCUAUUCACAUAGCUUCUCUCUUUGAGCUUUCAUUUGUAGUUUGAUUUGGUUCCUGGGCUCUCUUGGAGGAAAUGAGGGUCUAGGCCUUUUUUUAGUCAUAACUCUGACUGAAUCGAUGACACGAUCAAAGAAAAAAAGGUCUGAUGGUGGUAUUCUCUAAUAGUGUUGCAUUUGACUUAGGUCAAGGUGCAUGCUAGAUUUAUUGGCACCAAAGUCUUGUGUCUUAUUUCUCCAAAUAUUGAGUCUCACCCAUUUCUUGCAAUUCUUCUCUAAAUUAUCAUCACAAAGAGAACAUGAAGACCUACUUUAAUAGAAAAUAUUUUGAUAUAUAGUUAUAGGCUUAUGGCAAAUAAAUGACGAAUAGUUGCUUCAUGUUGUUGAGUCUCACGAAAUGGUGGUUUUUGCUAACUGUACUUACGACAGGAAUGAGGAAUGAAGUUUGAAUAGUUUCUUGUUGUUGAGCCCCAUGAAAUGGUGGUCUAUGCUAGUGAUGGUCACCUGAUGGCAAACUUGAGUACUAUAAAAUCUCAACUAUUGUGCUUAUUUGGUUCCAAGGCAUAUUCUCCUUAGGAUGAUUGCAUUUGCUUCAGCUGUUUGUGGUUAUCUUUG